GCCACGUAUGAUCCAACUACUGACCAACAUGAAACGGUAAUAAAGUCAUGAUGACGAGAAGUAUCCUUUCCUUUUUUUUUUCUACUAGCAUAUCUAAAGAUAAUAUAAAGAAGGUGAAAUAAAGCGAGAAACAGGGAUAGACACUUACGGGUCUCGUUGACGACGACGCCGGUGAGAGUGGACUCGAACGACCAAGAAAGGAUCUGGUGGCGUUCGAUGAAAUCUCCGGUGGCUCCCGAGAACCCGACCGCCGCGUCCGGCGGCAGCCCGGCGUCCUUGAAGUCGACGAUCGCGCUGACGUUGUAGAGGCCGAGCUCCGGCAGAUCGUCGAAGCGAAGGGUCGCCGACAGCGUGGUCAUGUCGGCGUCGUAUCUGACCCACGCCGACAUGGUCCCGUUGAAGCUCCCGGCCGGCAGCGCCAUGUACGCACGGGACGUGAUGUUAUUGACGUCCACGCCAAGAUGGUUCGCGGUGUUGUUGGGGUCCCAGCCGUCGUUCCUGAACGCGUCGAACUCCACGGCGACGGUCGGCGGGAAGACGGUGUUCGCCGGGUUGUUGGGGUUGUUGAAGAGACCGAGGAAGCCGCCUGUGGAGUCACCCGGCAGGUUCGGCGGCCACGGCCCGACGUAGAACGCCAUGCCGUCGGCCUGGUUGGUGCUGUUGUGCGGCUUGAUAGCGAAGGUGAAGUUGGAGGUGAAGCUGGCGACCUUGCCGGCGUCGUCCCAGAGCUGCACCGGCUGCCUGUACGCCACACGGCCGGUGCUCCAGAUGGUGUCGUUCGUCAGGUCGAUCCGGUCGCUGCCACCACUGGCGUCAGACAUGUACUUGAUGUCAGCGCUAGUGAGGACGCCGGGGAUGGAGAAGUUGUAGUCGAAGCUAAGCGAGGUGACAUGGGCAACAUAGACACAGAGCAGGUAGGCGAGGCUGAGGAGGAGACUGCUCCCGGAACCCAUAACCAUGGCCAUGGCCGGUGGCUAUUACAGUUACAGCUAGCUCUUCGUGCAAGUAUAUGAUUUUAUCAAGCUAGGCUAUAGCCUGGUGGUUGGUUUCUGCAUGCAGACCAGGGGUCUUUCUUUUAGUCGCCUUUGGUGUUUGGUCUCCGCGUCUGCUAUCGGCCGGCUUCAAUUGAAUUUAAACAAAAUAAAACUAAUUCGGCCGGCCGUACGGUCUGUGGGUAGCUAACGUCACACAUGAUUAUUAUCUUCGAUGUGCAAAAGUAUUUGAAUUCCAACAGAUUCCUCAAACAGCAAGGCAACAACUCAUCAAGUACAAAUAUCUCCUUGAGACGGAUACACAUCAGCAACCACUAAAGCAGCUCAUAGCUACUAGUAAGGUUGAAUAACGAGCCGAGCUAAUUUGACUUAGAUCGGCUUGUUCUGCCUUGUUAGGAUAAUAAACUAGCUCGGCUCGACUCGUUAUUUUAACGAUCUAGAAAACUAGCUUGGCUCGGGUCGCUACGAGCUCAAGCUGGCUGAGGAGGAGACUGCUCUCGGAAUCCAUAACCAUGGCAUGGCCGGUGGCUAUUACAGCUAGCUCUUUGUGCAAGUAUAUGGUCACAUACAGAUAUUUUUAUCAACCUAGGCUACUGGUGGUUGGUUCCUGCAGACCAGGGGUCGUCGUCGUUUAGUCGCCUUUGGUCUCCGUCUGCUUAUCAGCCGCCUUGAAAUGAAUUAGAACAAAACAAAGCUAAUUCGGCCGGCCAAUACGGUCUGUGGGCAGCUAACGUCACACAUGAUUAUUAUCUUCAAUGUGAAAAACUAUUGAAUUCCUAUUUGAAUUCCAUCAGAUUCCUCAAGCAGUAAGGCAACAACUCAUCAGGUCCAAAUAUCUCCUUGAGACGGACACACAUGAGCAACCACUAAAGCAGCCCACAGCGCUACUAGCCUACCGCUGACACUACAACUGAAAAUUCCAAAAGAGAUAGAUAUGUCACUGUCACUCUUAAAACCAUUCACACUGCUUUGGUCAAAAGCACGCUUUCAGCAAUCCCCGUGCAUACGGCAAUGGCGGUUUGCCUAUCGCAGUGGGCUCUUGGAAGAAUUGAUAAGAUUCGCCGUGGCUUCAUCUGGACCGGAACGGCGUCUGCCUCUGCCGGCCGGUGCAGGGUGGCCUGGCCGGUGGUCUGUCGACCAACCGAGCUGGGAGGGCUGGGCGUCGCUGACCUGCAGCGUGCAGGAUUGGCGCUGCGCCUAAGAUGGCCGUGGUUGCAGCGGACCGACACGCGACGACCAUGGCUUCGGCUUCCUGACAAAGUUGAGAAAACAGCCACAGAGUUCUUCAGGACGGCGACGGUUGCCGUGGUGGGGGACGGCUGCACCACGCUGUUCUGGGUGGACAGCUGGAUUCAUGGGUCCUGCAUCCGCUCCCUGGCGCCGGCCGUCUUCGAUGCUGUGCCCGUGCGCAGACAUGGCGUCUCGGUGGCCAAUGCACUUCACAACUCCAGAUGGGUGCGCCACGUCACAGGCCCGCGUUCUGCGCGCCUUAUUGCAGAGUUCGUCAACCUCAGCAACAUCAUCGACCGGACCAUCCUCACCCCGGGAACGCCCGACACCUUCUCCUGGCGGUUGAGUGCCGAUCAGGCGUACUCGGCGUCUUCAGCCUAUGGGGCAAUGUUCAUCGGAUGCUCCCGUCCUGUGGGAGCGCGGCAGCUUUGGAAGACGUCGGCGCCUCCUUGUGUGCGGCUGUUCUUCUGGCUGGUGAUGCAUGGCAAGUGUUGGACGACGCAUAGGCGCUGGCGCCAUGGCUUGCAAGACGACUGCGCCUGUAUCCUUUGCGACCAGGAGGACGAGACGAUGGACCACCUGCUGCUUGGGUGUGUUUUCAGUCGCGAAGUCUGGCAGCUCUGCCUCGUGGCGUUCUUCUUGCAGGGUUUAAUCGUAGUCCGGGAGUGUUCAGCGAUGCUCUGGUGGAUGGACUCUAGGAAGGGGCUGCCCAAGGUGCUGCGCCGCGCCUUCGACUCGCUUUUCUUCCUGGUAGGCUGGUUCCUGUGGAAAGAACGGAACGCGAGAACCUUUGGUGAGACACCCCGUUCGCCGGCGCUGCUCCUGCAGGCGAUCCUCGACGAGGCCGACCUCUGGAUCGCGGCCGGGUUUCGACGCCUUUCGGCCCUGGUGUGCCGUCGCUCGUGUUCUUAGCGCGCGCCUGUUGAUCCUUGUAGCGCUCUUCCUCUCUACAAUGUAGUCUCUUGGCUUUCUCCAGUAGACGUAGGGUUCUUUUCGGUAAUCUUCGGAUUACUGUGGGGUGUACGGACUCUCUUUCUGCUUAAUGAAAUACAUGCCUUCGCAUGUUCAAAAAAAAAAGCUAGAACUAAGCUAAAGCAGCCUGAUACAGCAUCUGGCUGAGAUCAAUCCAUGUUAUCGUCGUCCUCGUCCGGCAGGGGAAUCGCCGCAGCAAGUUCGAUCUCUUUGUCAAUCCUGCUUGCCAUGAAUUAAAAACGUUACAUGAUCAGAGAAGCACUCAGCGUUAUCAUAAACAAUGUAUGCAGCAUGGUAAAUCAGUGUUGUCGUCAGGUACAUGUUUGCUCGAAUAAUGACUUACUUUUGCUGCGCAGCAAUGUUGAUGGUCACGUCGGCAGAGACGAGGGCUAUCUCUUCGACGAAUUUGAGGUCCAUGUUCCUGUAUUUACAGCCAUGCAUCAGAUUACCAAUCGUUUGGUGUUGCUACCGCAUAUGCAUUGCAAUGAAAAGAAUGUCGGGUAGAUUGUGGCCACAGAAUGACGACAAUACCUACCCAGCGAUCUUCCUUGCAAGGUAGAGAAAAGGCUUCUCGAAGUUAUAGUUGCUCUUGGUAGAUAUCUCAUAGUACUGGAGGUUCUUCUUCCUGUGGUAAGUCACUGACUUGGCCUUCACCUGCUGGUUCUUCACAUCCACAUUGUUGCCGCACAGGAGUACAGGACAACCGGGAUGUUCUGACAUACCCUAAUAUAUAUGCGCAAAAAAAGAUGUACCAUCAAUUCGACCAGGACACCAACAAUUCAAAAGGAAAAACUUUUACCUGCUGAUGUCCCUGUGCCAGGUGGGAACAUUCUUGUAGGUGAGUCUUGAGGUGACAUCAAACAUGAUGAUCGCACAUUGACCAUUGAUGCUGCACAAACGUAUGACCAAAUAUUAACCCUUGAAAAUGCAUCUCACUGUUUUUAGAGUCACAGUCCCGACCCGCUUGCGGAGGCGAUGUGUGCGGCUGAUGGUCCUCCUGCUUUGGUCAUAUCCUUCGACCCGAUGCUGGAAGAGUUCCUUGCCGCCAUGUUCGUCGCGAGCUACUCUGCUGUGGUGGCCGUCCCCCAGGGGUUCAUGGAGCCACCUCUGGUGGCGGCUGUCCCCUCGCCUCAGCAAUCGGUGCAGGAGCCAGCGCAGCUCACACGUCUCCUUGGGUGGGUCAGCCCAACGUCGAGAUUGGCGACGAGACACCCAUGCUACGCGAGGUCACUCGGCGCCUCGCACGGUUUCUUGAUGAGGCGUGGGUCGUAUGGGAGCCACCUUUGAUUGCCUUCCCACCUCGGCAGAGGACGUCUGUCAAAAGGCCCCCACCUAUCCUAGCCAGGAGCAGUCGGAUCGCUGCCCAGCCAUUGGCGCACAUUCUGGCCUCCAAGUGGAGCGAGGUUCUCCUAAACAAGCGACUAGGGUUUGCUCCGCUGACCGCACUGGUUUCGCCCGUGCCGAGGGGGAUACUCGAUGCUCUACGUUCCAGGAGCCUGUCGUCGAGCGAGGUGGAGGGCCUGGACGAGCUAUUUCCAACGUUCAACAGGCGCACGUGCGAGCUCUUCCAGGAGGACUCGUAAGACGCGACAUUGAGCGGAUUUUGGUUGACCCAUUUAUGUAAUAUCGAUCCACAUAACUUUUUUUGCUUGGUCGGUUCAACUGUUGACCACCUAGCGCGCUUUUUGCAUGUCAUUUGUGUUGUAUACUCUUUUUUCUUAAUAUAAUGAUAUGCAGAUCUCCCCUGCGUAUUCGAGAAAAAAAUCGUCUAGUCUCAAAUCUUUUAUGGAUCUCUACCAGUUCUAGUAUAACUGUCUCUCUAUGGUUACCACAUUGGACCUACUCCAGCUGUCAUGGCUGCUCUGUGGGUUCAUUUGUAUCCUCCAUGAUGAAGCUUGCCUAUUUGUUUAAAUGUUUUUGUUUAUUAGCUUACGUCAGUUAGCAACUUAGCUUGCAUGAGAAAAUAUUAACACAUUAGGAUUGGAUCACCACAUCAUCUUGACUUCGUUGAACCCAGAAGCUCACAUAAAAAAAAAAAUCUCAAGAAAAUCACUUGACAUUUAUUGCAUUGAUUUCUACCACUUUGUGCAACAUUGCCUCCCUGCAUUGGAUAAAUUCAAGCUAUCCAAACCGAUGUCCAUGUUGAUCUACAUUGUAAUUACUCAAUCGAAGCUAUCGAAUAAUCUUGUUUUUUGUUCUCGAUAAGAUAUUAAGGUCACACAAUGCGAAGCAAAUGUAAUGUACUCCUUUUAUUCCAAACUAUAAGUCGCUUUUGACUUUUUUGAUAUAAUAGAUUUUGCUUUAUAUAUAGAUAUAUGUUAUAUUUAGAUACAUAAACAUAAAAAAAUUCUAGCUUUCGGCGUAUUUAGUAGAGGGUUUCUGCGUAUCCUGUGUGCGAGACCCACGGCGUAUUUAGUAGAGGAUUUCUGCUUGCUUUCGACGCGACUGCCUGCGCCGCGAUUGGCCGAUUGCCGAGUGGCCGCCGUGGGUUAGCAGUUAGGUUCAGGUUUAACAGGAAGUUUAAUAAUACAGCUUUGGCUAUAAGGUUUUUUUUUAGCUUUUUUUAACCCACUCAUACAAUAAUUGUUCACUAUUAAUACAUGACCGACUUAUCUCUAUCACAAAGUUUCUUGGUUUCUAUGUCUAAGCUGGGUGUAAGGUUACAAGCUGCUUCUUCUCUCUCCUCCAUUCUCUCCUUCAUCUCAGCAUUUAGCCCACUUAUAACGUAUUAUAAUACUUGCUCUAAGCUGCUUUGUGCGCCGUCCAAUGUUUUUGGGGCGUCGCCUAGGCGUCGCCUAGUCGUCGCCUAGGCGACAAGGCGUGCUGGAGUCCAUGGGCGUCGCUGGCGCCACGUCCUGCACGGGUAAGGCGUCCGCCUAAUCGAAUUAGGCGUCGCCUAAGAGUAGUUUGGCGUCAGGCGGACGCCUUAUGCCAUGCCACCGACGCCGGAUGCCAAAUCGCUGGGAAGGACGCCAAAAUUACCGUGCUCCCGCGGGAAAUCGACCGCACACGCGGGAAAAGGACCGCGCUCGCGGGAAAAGGCGCGGGAAAUCGACCAUGGGGGAACUAGAUAGGCCGCGGACGCGGGAAAUCGACCGCGCGCGUGCCAUUUACCACGACUGCAAGCGAGGUCGAGGGGAGCGGAAAAGAGAAGGCGGCAGGCAGACCGAAGACCUCGAGCUCCGCUUGGCUGCUCGUCGUCCACCGGCUGGUCGCCCUUGCCGUGGAGCCGGCCUUGCAUCUCCGCCUGGCCUCCGCACCUGCCGUGGAGCCGCAGUCGCAGUCCGCUCGUCCGUCGUGGAGUCGCAGUCCGCUCGUCCGCCUCCAGUCUUCGAGCCCGCAUCUGCUCGCCCGCCUCGAGUGUCCGCCUCCAUCGGCCGGUUCAGAGCUGCAGCUGCUCACCCACCUGCGCCUCCGCCUGGUGCCGUGGUAUGUCCCCUGCCUCCGCUGUCCUCUCUGUCUCUGGUGUCCCAAAGGCCAAAUCUCCUUGACGUGUACUCUGUUUUUCUGAAUAUAGAAUGUCUGUGCAGUUGUGCUCUGUUUUUUCUCUGAAUAUUGUAUGUCUCUUGCUCUGCUUUUGAUCUAAAUGUAUAUUGUAUGCCUCAUGCUCUACUUUUACUCUGAAUAUUGUAUGCCUAUGCCUUGUGCUCUGCUUUUGCUCACGCUGCAUGUCCUUUGCUCUGAAUAUUGUAUGCUAAUGUCUGCGUAUGCACUGAAAUACUUAAUAUUGUAUGACUCCACAUACACUGCUAUGGAGUACAACACAAAGCACAACUGCAAAAGGGUCUUUCUUUGAUUAGUAUAUAAUGUCUGCCAUUCUGUUUGUGUUCUUUCUUUAGUGUGCAAUUUUACAUAACAUAAAGAAGGCACUUGCUUUGAUUAGUAUGUUACUUUCUUUAUUACAGAACCUCUUUAUGCCAUUUUCCUAAUGCUGUUCCUUUCUAUUAUGUAGCAUCCAGCAACAUGGCAAGCUCAGUUGAAGCACCUGAUUAUGAUCCCAAGACUGAUCCAGCAAGAAAAGCAAAGUCCAAUGAUCCAGGCUGAAAAUAUGCCUACUGGCAGGACCCUGCUAGGAGAGACUGGGUGACAUGUAUCCUGUGUGGACAUGAGGGUUCAGGAGGCAUAAAGAGGUUGAAGCAACAUUUGGCUGGUGGAUAUGGAGAUGUUGUCCUUUGUUCAAAAGUUAGCACUGAAAUCAGGAAAGAGAUGGAAGCUUACUUGCAAAAGAAGAGAAGAAGACCUUUGUAUUUGGAUGGUCUUGUGGAGGAGGAUGAAGAACCAGAAGAUGAAGUUGUGGAGGUGUCAGCAGUAGAUGCACAAGCAGCAGCAACAGAUGCAAGACCAAAAGUGGCUGCAAAAAAACCAAGUUCUGGGACAGCCGCCAAGAAAAGGCAUGCUAUCUAUCAAUUCAAAGCUUCAGCUCCUAGCAGUGUCAAUUCAACACCAAAGACACCAAAGGCAACAAAGUCAGUUGUUGCUAUGCUUAGAAGAACACCUGAACAGAUAGUAGAUCAAAGGCGUGUAAAGGACUUUCAACCCACCAUUGAGUCCAGCACAAAGACUAAGGAGGAGAAGCAAUAUGUGGAUUUACAAUGGGCACUAUGGUUCAUGGAGUGUGGUGUAGCCUUUAAUGCAGCAAAUUCAAGGCAAUUUGAAAUUGCCUGUGAGGCAACAGCCCAAUAUGGUUCAGGAUACAAGCCUCCAACUAACAGCAGCUUGGUGAACCUUUGCUUCAAGAAUGUGUUAAGGUGACAAGUGCCAUGAGGAAGGACCAUGAGCAAGCAUGGAAGCAAUAUGGUUGUACACUAAUGUCAGAUGGAUGGACUGAUAUGAGAGGGCGUCACUUGAUUAAUUUCCUUGUGAACAGCCCUGAGGGAACGUAUUUUCUAGAGUCAGUUGAUGCAUCAAAUCAAGUCCAUAGUGCAACAAUGCUUGCUGAUUUGCUACAGGAGAAGAUUGAGGACAUUGGAAAGGACAAUGUUGUUCAAAUUGUGACCGACAAUGGUGCUAACUACAAGGCUGCUGGUAAGAUCUUGAUGGAUAGAAUUCCCACACUGUUUUGGAGUCCUUGUGCUGCACAUUGUUUGGAUCUGAUGUUGGAAGAAAUUGGGAACUUGAAGGCAUUCAAGAAACCUAUUGCACGUGCUAGGCGUGUCACCACAUUCAUUUAUAGGCAUGGGAGGCUUCUUAGUGCAAUGAGGGCUCAAACAGGUGGGACUGAUCUUGUUAGGGCAGCAAAGACUCGAUUUGCCACAUCAUUUCUGACAUUGAAGAGUUUGUACAAGAACAAGGAUGCCUUGAAGAGCUUGUUUGUUAGUGAAGCAUGGACUGGGAACAACUUGUGUACAACUGCAGCAGGUCAACAAGUGCAAGACAUUGUGCUAUCUACUGAGUUUUGGAACUCAGUAGAAGAUUGCCUAAGAGCUUCAGCACCACUGUUAAUUGUUUUGAGGGCUGUUGAUGGUGAUGAGAAGCCUGCAAUGCCAGAGGUCACAGCUCUGAUGAAUCAUGCAAAAGAUAGGAUAAAGCAAAGCUUCAAUAUACAAACCAAGCAGGGCCUGCUCAAGAAAAUUAUGGACAUUAUUGAGAAGCGUUGGGUGAACCAAAUGGAUCAUCCACUGUAUGGGGCUGCACUAUAUUUGAACCCAAGAAAAAUUUUUCCUCUUCUAAAAGCUAAUGACGAUGCCACUGUUGGGCAGUUAAGAGGCUAUUUUAUUGAAGUGCUUGGAAGAAUGAUACCAGAUGUGAAAACACAAAUGAAGAUCAAUAGGCAGGCCAUUGAGUAUGAAGAGCAACGUGGUGAUGCCUUCUCAAACAAAAUGGCAAAGGAAAGCUAUGACAAAAUGAGUCCUCGUAAGUGUUGUUAAUCUCAGCUUGCAAAUUUUAGCAACUUAAUUGCAUUCCAAACUCUUAAUAUGUGUUGUACUUUUCAUCCAGUUGAUUGGUGGCGUUCUUAUGGUGGCCGAGCCAUUGAACUACAAAGACUUGCUAAGCGCAUAGUUAGUCUUUGUGCUUCAUCAUCCGGUUGUGAGAGGUGCUGGAGUACCUUCAGUCAUGUGAGCAUCCUCGUAAAUUGUGAUUAACAAAUUUUAUUUAGAUGCAUACAAUCUGAUUUUUGGUUUUGCUUCCCAUCUGAUUUUUUUGUUUGUAGAUGCAUACAAAGAAAAGGAAUAGGCUGCUGCACAAGAGAUUGAAUGAUAUUGUGUUUGUUUCAUACAAUCGGAAGAUGAGAACAAGAUUUCAGCUUACGCGUGAGAAGGCAGGCAAGAAAUAUGACCCUUUGGUCAUUGAGGAGUUCAAUUGGGACAAUGAAUGGGCUGAUUCAUUGCAUGUGCCCAUUCCGAGUGCUCGAGGGUCUGAUGCUGUUGAUGAGCUCACAUGGCAGCAUGUUGAUGAAGCCACAGGUGCAUCACAAGCACUGCGGGGGCGUAAUCUUCCUAGGAGAGCUACUGCUACUCUACAUUAUAGUCGUUCGAGAAAUGUUCCUGUUCCAGCUGGUGAAGAUGGAGAAGAGGAAGAUGAAGUUGAAGACCCACAUGAUGAUGCGGAAGUGAGCGACUGUGAAGAAGAUGGCAAUGUUCCUGCUACUGAACAAGACAAGGCUGCUGAUCCUGAUGAGUUUGAUGAUGGAUUUUGAGUGCUGAAACAAAGAUUUGCACUCUUGCUGAUGGAUUCUUUUGUGUCCUGCACCCUUGCUGUACUUUUGUGUUGUCACACACUCCUGUUGUAUGGCUGUGGACUGUGGUGUAGUUGACUUAAUUAGUAUGCUGUAGAGUUCAACAGUUUAAGUUUGUGGACUAUUUGAGACAGACUAUGAUGUCAUUUGUCAUGCUCAUGCAUGAACUAAUGCUUGCUAAUUUGUUAUUUUGCCUCUUGUGUAUUGUUUCCUAUUUAAUUCUUAGCAAAUAGCAACUAAUAACAUGUUUGAUUGCUGAAUUCUGUAACUGUCAUGCAGGAGAAGAGCUUUUGGAAGGGAAAGGAAGGAACUUGGGAUCAAGAAUUGGCAACAAACUAAGUAUGUAUGUGCUGCACUAGUAUAUAAAAAUUCUAGCUUACAACGCCUUACAAUGUGUGUAUGGCGUCGCCUAGGCGUCCGCCACAAACGCCUAGGCGUUGUGAAGGGGGUCGGGCGCGGCGCCACGCCGCGGCGCGGCGCCUCAAAAACAUUGGCGCCGUCAUGGGUUAACGACUUACGUGUUCCCAUAUGGAGGGCCCUACAUGUGCCCCUUCGGAAUUCCGUUUCAGGCCUAGUUUAGUUGAAAAAAAAAAUUCAAAAUUGUCCAUCACAUCAAAUUUUUAAAUGUAUAUAUGGAGCAUUAUAUAUAGACAAAAAUAAAAAAUAAUUAUACAGUUUUUUCUAUAAUUUAUGAGACAAAUCUUUGAAUUUAUGAUUGAACAAUAAUUAUCAAAUAUAAACAAAAAUGCUAUAGUAGCCAAAGUCAAUUUUUUUUGCAAACUAAACAAGGCCAAAGUAUAUCGCUAUGGAUGGCAGGAUUUUUUUUUUCAAUGCCAGUGAAAACGAACCGCGGUUGGGUGAAAAUUAGACCCAGUAUAUAGCUAUGGAUGGCAGGAUGGGUCAGGCCCAAAUGGUGCAGCGAGCGUAAGCACAAGAAGCCCAUGGGUGACUCGUGUUUAUACUGAAAACAAAAAAGUCUACUUUUCCUCCUUCAAUUUUUACAAAAGUCCGUUUUUCCUUCUUUAACUUCAAAACCGAGCAAAUCACCUCUUUCAACUUUUUAAACCAUGCAUUUUACCUCCCUAGAGCGGUUUUAAAGGCGGUUUUGCUAUAGUAAAUAGUGGUUUUGCUACAGUAACGAUGAUUUUGUCUUUUUCUUUUUUUUUUAAUUAUUUCGGCUGAAUUUUUAAAAAAUCAUAGUAAAUUAUAGAAAAAUUAUAAAAUAGAAAUCCAAUUUUAUUAGACUCCACAUAAGUAGAUCUACAUAGUAAACAUAUAAUAUGAUAUGCUUUAGUACAAAUUUUUUGCUAUAAAGGUUUUGUCCUUUUUUUAUUUAUUUAUUUGGUUGAAUAUUAAAAUCAUAGAAAAAUUAUAAAAUAGAAAAUCUAUUUUUUAGACUCCACAUGAGUAUAUAUAGAAAAUCUAUUUUUUUAAGUAUUUAAAACUUUAAUAGUUCUUUAAACUAAAGCUAAAAUAACGGAUGUGGUGGUAGGAUGAUGGCCGCACACAUAAAGAGACAACAAAAAAAAAUCUUCAAGCAUCAUAAUCUUAUAUCAUGAGUUAUAUAUCCCGUUGCAACGGAACAAAAUCUUUAAGCAUCAUAACCUUAUAUCAUGAGUUAUAUAUCUCGUUGUAAUGCACGAAUAUAUUUUACUAGUUAAUGAGUAAUGCGUACGAGAGGGAAGCCAAGCAAAAGGGUCACAGGGUGCGUCUCCUUUUCCUAGUGGCAAAUCACAUAAUUUUUUCAAGUUCUAUGGGUAUGGGUUCAUGAAGCUAGAAAAGGAGCCGGAAGAAACUAUUAUUUUUUAUUUCAUCUCAUCCUAAAUCUCUAUAAAAGUACGUUUUUAGAGCUUUAUCAAUGGAGUCAUUCUUUUUUAUCUCGUUUGGUAGAAAACAGCCCUAACACAGCUCUUGAAACCUCUCGAGAAACCCCUACUAAAUGGAUCCAUAGUAACUGAUAAGACCACUAAGUCCAUCACGACCGAACAAACCUUAUUACAUACUAUAUAUAUAGAUACUGUGUUACAAAAUGAAUAAAAGAGAUGGCACAAACAGUGGUGGGCUUUGAUGAAGACUAGGGCCAAAAUUAAGUAGUAAAAAUAUUUAGGUCUGAUGAAAGAUCAACUCUCAUAUCAGUUCAUUGAAUUGUGCUAUAUAAGCAUCGAGAAAAAUAAUAUGUCUAAAGUCAUGUUCCUCUAUGUCGUGUUUUUAGAAAAAACACGAGCACAUUGCUCGCAGGUAACUAAAUGAACAGUAAGGUCUUGUUUAGUUUCCUCCAAAAUUCAAAAUUUUUUUAAGAUUCUCCGUCACAUCGAAUCUUACAUCACAUAUAUGGAGCACUAAAUAUAGGUUAAAAAAUAACUAAUUGCAUACUUAGGUUAGAAAUCGUGAGAGGAAUCUUUUAAGCCUAAUUAGUCCAUGAUUGGACAAUAAUCAUCAAAUACAAAGUGUUAAAAUUCAAAAACUUUUUGGAUCUAAACGAGGCCUAAAUAAUAUUGCUGAAAAAGACAUAAAAACUAAUAUAAAUGCUUUGGAAUUCUUAGGUUUGUGUGAUUGAUCACAUACUACACAUAGGCUAGUUUGAUGAAGAUGAUUGGCCCCAGAACUAGAAUAUAAUUGUAAAGUUCCAUCUCGUACAUAUAUAUUUUAAUCGAAGCCAAUCCAGGCACAGAGAGCAACCAAUACUAUAUUGUAGGAUAUGGAUUGAAACAUGCAUAUACAUCUAUCUAUUCCAAAAUUCAAAUACGUACAAUCAUGAUCGCACUUGCAGUCACAGUCACUAAGUGCAUGCAUCUUCCUCCCUGGACAAAGGCUGAAACGUUCAUCCAAUCUUCUCUAUCUGCCGAACAACUCAAGGCUCCACACUGAUGGAGCAGGUCAUGUGUGCAGGGUAAGUCAUGACUAGGGCCGUGGCCCUACUACCUGGGUCUGCCCAUGGGCACAAGGUAGCAAACAUGAAAUUCGAAUACUUAUGUUUUUCCUAAAAUAUAGUUCAUGUAGAAACACGUGUGGAUGGGCAAGUUUUUCAAACGAAGAUACGAUCACGAAUAUAUAUUACGUCUUGUAUCGAGUACUGAUCAUAUCUCAUCAUCAGACGAGACACAGGAUUGGGGUAAACCGAUCCUGAGGGCAAGAAAGCAUGAAGCGUCGACCAUGCCUAGCUCCUACUUGGCUAAGCUGCAUCAUGUGAUGUGUGCCUACAAGUUAAAGUACGAACCAAACUAAUCAACACGGAUUUGACGUUGCACCGGCCUGAGUCUCUUCUUAAUUCAAACCUUGUCGCCCCUUGUCGUCGACGAAUAACGAGAAAAAAGUUGUGUGAUCCACGAGGAGCACACAUCUCUGCACGCAUGGCCACCAGUUCUCUGCAUAGUAUGAUCUAGCUAGGACAGGCAACAUGUCUUGUUGCUGUCCCCUAAAGCCCUUGGCAUUUUGUUGUCGUCGAGCUACUGCAUCGUGUUUUCUCCUGUCUGUUCUCUGUGGCUCGCGAGGACGUGAAGAAGUCCGGCCAGAAGUAACGACGACGAGUAGCUCCCCUGAACGCAUGCGCUUUUUGUUGGAAUGGCGGUAGCUUUUGCGUCGUGGCCCGCCAACCAAAUUAGCAACUAACGCGUAGACGACGACCGGCUGGACGCCAUUUGGAGAUCUCGAUCAGAUGUACAUACCCUGUCGAUCGACCAGGCUAACAGCCUGUUAACUCUGUCAAAUUUUAAAAUGCAGUCUAGUGAGCCAGAACAAAUCCAAGUAGGUAACUAUAUUUAAUUCCCUGAGUUCGUACUUUUGCUAUACUUGGUACUGAAGUAAGUUGUUCAUUAUUGGAUGGAUCUAUGGUUCCAAUGGUCGUUAAGCAACACAGACCGUCUAAACUCUUCAGGUGGUUCCGCCUGCAACUGUAAUGGUUUCAGAACUUCAGAUCGCAAGCGUGCAGGUUAAUUGCAAUGGUUUCAGAACUUCAGAUCGCAAGCGUGCAGGUUAAUUUCAAUCAAGCCAUGAACACACUACCAUCAUUCUGACGAUUAUCCUUAUUACUUUUCCGCCUCCAAAACACCCUGUGCUGCACUGUUAUACCUGACGCAAAAACAAAAACUACUGUAUAUUAUUUCGCCUAGUUGGCAUUGUCUAGUUGUAUCUAUUGAUUUCUUCAGCGCGUUGUCUUCUGACGAUCUCUUUCAGUCUUUGUGGCGGUGCAAGAAGACAGGCACAGUGGUUAGGCGCACUUUUUACGUGUUUGUUUAGUCUGAAAGGCGUCGCGUUUUGACUAAUUUCAGGUUCGUCGAGCUUGCAUCAUGCAGGGGAUAAAAUCCAAGCAAAGCAACCACCAUCUCCUGCUGCUUUACCUUUACACGAAGAGUGGGUCUGCCGGCCGGCCCAGAAAGCAAAGGCGAAAUCGCGUUAAAACACGCACAUUUGUCAGCUUGACCCAACUGUGAAUGCCGUCCGAAGCCAGCAGACAUCGAUUGGUUUACUUUGUCGGUGUACUUUCAGGUGUACUAGCUAGAUAGCUAGCUGCUAGGAUAAGUCUUUGCUUAGCUGAUCCUCCAAGAUGCACGAUUAUACUUUCACCAAAAGAUUGAUUAUUGAUGCUUAUAUACCGAAAGUGAACGGCCUUUCUGAAAUUAAAGUUGCCAGAGAGAAUUGCUAGGUUUUGAUUAUUGGUGCUUUACCUUUGAUGUAUGGGUGCACUCAGUCAUCAUUGAUUAAUACUAUAACGAUCAUUGAAUCUAAUUCACAUAUAAAUUAUCGACCUCAUGCCAUUAUGGAAAAGUGAUAAAAAAAAACAUAUGCUUAAUACUUGCUUCUAAAGUAUCCAUAUCACCUCUCCCACUUAAAAUUUAUUAUUCCUUUUUCAAUUUUAUGCUUAAGAAUCCAUAUAUAUAGCUAAUGGAUCUUGUAUUGGAUGCAUCAAGGAAACUAAAAUUGGAAGUAAUGUAUCUAUUAUACCUAUACAAGAGUGUUUUUUUUUGCGAGCAACCUAUACAAGAGUGUUAAAAGGAGCUAGCCCAUGUUAAUAGGGUCUAGAAUUUAUAAGAUUAAUUAAAAAAUUUAUGAGAUUAAUUAAAAAUAAUAGACACCACUAGAUUUUAUAAUGUAAUGGUAUGGAUAAAGUAAGGCUUUGUUCGGCAGAGCUCACAGAACUGAUCCUCUGCUGAAUCUAGAAGCUCUCUCAAAUAAUUUUUUAGAGAAAAGUGAUUCUAUGCUGAAUCUAUAAAGUGAUCCUUUGAAAGGAACUAAGAGGAUGGAAACUAAAAUAGUAGCUUCUCCUAAUUCUGUGAAGUGAUUCUCCAUCAUAAUUUUAAGAGUCUACCAUAGAAUCACCUCCCAUAGAGAAUCAGAAUCAGAUAAAGCUUUACCAAAACCGGCCCUAUUUCACGUUUCUUAGUCCUAAUGCAUGUUGUGUCAUAUUAUGUGAUUGCUUAGUGCAACAGAAUACAAGUUACAAUUGUAUGAAUACAUUGCUCCCACAUGAAAGAUAUAUCAAAAUAAUAAUAAAAGAACCCAAAUCAUUUAAUUUACAAAUAAUCCAUCAGCUUAUAUUAAAGCAAAACAGUAUCCCUAAAUACUCUUCAUCUCAAACUGUAAGUUGUUUAACUUUUCAAGACACAAUUUUUUUAUUAUCACUUAGAUAUAGAUACGAUAUGUUGUUAAAACUAUAUAUAUAGCCUAGAAAUAUCAAAAUGACAUAUGUUUAGAAUAUAGGAGUGCGUACUAAUGCCAAUGUAGAGUAAGAGUCCACUUUGUACUGGCUCCAAAUCCACAGCGACCACUCUAGCAUGGUUGAAUGCAUAUAUAUCCACAUCUCUGGUGACUGGUGCGAUGGUACGAGAUGAUCGCUGGUCAUGAUGAGUCGUGACCAAGGUUAGUUGUUUGUGUUCCACAAGUGGCGGCAACAUUGCCAACCUCAAGCCAGUGGAUUUGACGCACACGCACGUACUACCAAUCGCAUACGUCUACUCAAAAAAAAUCGCAUACGUGUGCAACUAAAACUAGUUUUGCAUAUUGUGGCCUUGCAAACUGCAAACAGAUCUGCAGGCCUCGUUCGGUUAGUCCGGAGUAGACCGCUCCGCGCCUAGCUAGUGCGGAGUAGGCCGAGUGCCGCUCUGCUGACACGCGAAAAUGUCUCACAAGAGAAUUGGGUUACAACAUCAAGUUAGUGACAUCAAAGACAUGUUAGAAAAUAUUUGGUAGUGCAAUACAAUUCAAACACUACAAGAGAUUGGGCCUUCUAUGAUAAUUUUCACAUGACAAAGCACCUUUUAGUCAUGAAAGUAAUGUGUUUAUGAUAAUUUUUCUUUGGAUGACAAGUGUAUGUGACAAAGUUAUUUUAGUCAUAAAUAAUAAUCACCAUGUGCCUUUCUUAAUCUUUAUGACAGCAGUUAAUGACAAAAUUGAUAAAAUGUGAUUGUCAUAAAUUUAAAAACAUUUUUUCUAAACUUUGUGACAAUAGCUCAUAACAAAUUUGAUGAGAUAUGAUUGUCAUGAAUUAAAAAUCUGCCAAAUAUAUAUUUUAGCACAAAAAUUGGUGAGAUGUGAAAGAUAUAAAUUUAAAACUAUUUCUAAAAGUAUUUUGCCACAGUCACGCCUAGGUGAACUCAGACCCACCUACAUAAGGUAAAUAUUAAGGUUUAUAUUUAAAAAUUAAAUUUACAAAUUAAGCACAAGCUGUGGCCUAUGGGAAUUGAACCCACGCCCUUGGUCUUGAUAAAGAAUGGACAUCCCACGUCAGCUCUUGUUCUUUAUAAACGGAUUUGUUUUAUUUUUGUUCAGAUUCUUCGACUUAGAGACACAAGGCACACUCCGAUAAACACUUUGUACUAUGGAGUAGGAGCGGUAGGAGCGGAUGCCGUGUCUCUGUCCGUCCGCAGUAGGAGUCCGCCGCCGCCCUUUGCCCAUCGCCGCUUGUCGGAGGCUGCCGCCCUUUGUCGCCGCCGCCGCAACAUCUCACCAACGCCAUCCAACCCCAUCCCAGAAGCUAGCUAGUUGUAGCUCCCGGCUUCCGCCGUCGCCGCCAGCGGCCGAUUCUCGACGCCUCUGGCGAAUCCCAACGACACCGGCAGCAGGCCACCACCGGAGGCAGGACCCCAACACCGACGACAUUAGCCCGAUGCGCUUCCUGGAGCUUGACGCCUGGCUGCAGCUCCAGGCCACCGGGCUUCACUGGCUGAGACGGUGGAAUUGCCCCCAGGAGCUCCAUCCUAGGAUUGGUGCCGGCUGCGGGAGAGGUCGACCAGAGACAGGUCCAAGCCCUUCGAUUAGGAAGGGAAGGUACAUAUGAGAUGAACUUAUAUUUUGGUUUUAUAGUUCGAUUGAAACCAUAGAUUUGAAGUGAUAGAAAUAGGCAAAUAGCAGUCUAUUACGGACAGUGAUCACUUGUUGAUUCCUUGCUAGAAUUAUUUCAAUGUGUCACAGAUGGAUAGAACUUGGAUGAAUGCUAGGGUCUUAGCAAGGAGCAUCGGGAAGGGGUCAAUGAGUUCAUGGGUUUUGUUUCUGAAACUUUGAGCGGCAGACAGGAGAUAUUAUGUCCGCGUCGUAAAUGUUUGAAUCGGUUAAACAAAUAUAAAGGAGAAGUGGAGGAUCACAUAUUAAUGUACGGGAUGUCUACCACAUACACUAGGUGGAUACAUCAUGGAGAACAAUUGGUCAUGAUAUAUGAAAAUGCUGAGCAAUUGAAUGAACAUAAUGCUGCAAUGUUGAGCAUGUGAAUGAAGAUGUUGGGACAGAUGAGCCUCAAGAUGACUUUAAAGUGUAAGACGAAACAAAGAAGACAACAGCGAUGCCCUGCUGAAGCCGGUAGCAAGGCCAACCCCUCUAGUUCGCCCUGCUAAUGGGUUGGGUUUGUUUGGGUUAAAUGGGGUGGAUUCUUAUUUGGCUUUUGCUUGGAAGGGUCCGAAUGGGUUAAUCAGUGCUCUAAGUUGGGGCGGGGUGGGUUUAAAAGACAUGUGGGGUGGAUGAGGCCAGUUAUAACUGAAAAGCCCGUACUCUCAAGAUGGAUGGAAACCCGUAGCUUCGAUGCCCCCAAAGCAUCUAUGGGUUUGAUGCUCGCGAGUUUGUUACUAGAGUCCAUACGAGGAGCCAUAGUCCCACAAAAGAGUCUGCAUCGUCCAAGCGGACAGCAGCUGCCUCCUAACCUGCUUGUAGAAGAACUCUAUGAUGCCAUUGAUGAACAACUCAACACACCGAGGAUGGACAACUCUCUGUCGGCAUCCUCCUGGUGCUCUUCGCGCUUGUGCAGUUGUUCUUGCUGGCAACCCCGACAAGCUCGACUAGGCCUAGCGACGGCAUCAGACAUGUGUACGCGUGGAACCCGACCCCGACGGGGUCCUUGACGAAUGUGGCAGCGACCGGCAAUCUACACGCCAUGGGGCGGCGGUGGCGUGAGCCCAUGUCGCGUGCGCACCCACGCGCACCAUGGAUCAGCGCCGGCACCACGAAGCACGCCUUCGUCUCCAUGAUGAUGUGCAGUGUGUUGUCUGAUAUCCAUGAUGGAGAUCGAACAGGUGGAGUAGGGUGGAUGAGACUCCAGGGACAGAUGGCUCUCGGGCUCUCGGCUCAAAUUAGAUACUGACCGAGGCAAAGCAGGAGAUUCUCUCAUCGCCGAGCAGACCAUGGGGGUGGGCUUCGUCGCUGCAGUGGGGGCGGCUCUUCAACCGCAUGGUGUCGGUGUCCAACGGCAACUCGGCAAGGUGUUCUAAUUCCCGUGGCCUCCUGCACUUCUAGAGUAGCGUUGGAGCCGCAUCGUCGAUGGCUCCAUGGCUGUCUAUUUGGGUUGGGUAUCACGUGGCUCGGUUUUGGUUGGCCCGAAUAUUUCCUAGAAGUUGGGUUGGAAUCAGGUUCUAGACGUCUUGAAAUGUACUGGGUUGGACUAAAAAGGUGUCCUCUUCUGCUAUGAGUGGGUUCGUAACGCGUUGGGUUUUUGUCGACGAAAGCUGGUCGGCAGUCUACCUUGGGGUAUACCCACGGUAGUAGUUUGUCGGUAGACGGUGCGCAAACUACGAACUCGAUGGUGACGCAAGACACGGACAAGCUUUUUAUCGAGGUUCGGCCGCCGAGUUGGCGUAAUACCUACGUCCUGCGUCUGGUUGUAUUGAUUUGUGUUGAGAGAAUAUGAUGUGUCCUAGGGGGGUCCCUUGCCCCUCCUUAUAUAGUCUGGAGGGCAGGGUUACAGAUCGGGAAACUAAUCCUAGUCGGUUACAAUUGCCAUGGAUAAUUCGAUAUCAGAUCCUAUUCUAACCGACUAGAAUCCUGCUCGAUCUCCACAUCUUGUUUCCUUGCGCGAAACUCCAGGUUGUCGGAUCAAGCCUUGAACUCGUCUCGUAAUGGGCCAAGCCUCCUGGCCGAAGUCUAGCCGUAAGGGUAUAGGGGUUUAUACCCCCACAGCUAGUCCCCGAGCACCAUGUAUUGUGAUGUAACACGCCGUCUUGAGCUUCUUCGAUCAGUGAAACUUGACGUCUUCAAUAAGUGGGAAGGUCGCCCAAACAGUUGCAACGGUUCUUUGACCAACUCAAAAGACAGUUGAUCAACAUUGACAUCGAAGAAGCGAGUUGUUCGAAGAAUGCAUGGUGCUCUAAAUUAAAAAAGAUUUCUUUCCUGGUGAAGUGUGCCCACUUUACUUUCUUGAAAGGUAUAAACAUCAAAAAAAAGCAAGCAUAUUCACCGCAAGGUGAAGUGUGCCCACUUAGUCCCCGAGCCUGGUAGGUGACGUAGGCACGUGGUGCCAGGGUCAAAAUAAAAGUCCUCAAAGAAAUUCUGUAACUGAGAUGCAUCGCCAGAUGCAUCGUACCGAUGUAGUCCCCGAGCUUGCUGGAAGGCGAAGUAUGAGCCUUGUAGCAAGGUCUAAAAAAUUGAAUUUACCAGUCCGUCUGCAAUGGAAUAGACCAAUCGACCAGUCCCCAAGCACCAAGUGCGCUCCUUAGAAUUCUGUGUUGCUGUACUGUACGACCAGUCCCCGAGCAUCGAGUGCUCGGUGGUCGGUGCAGUCCUUGAAGUUCCGAGCUGAUAGACUGGGCGACCAGUCCCCGAGCGUCGAGUGCUCGGUGGUCGGUGCAGUCCUUGAAGUUCCGAGCUGAUAGACUGGGCGACCAGUCCCCGAGCGUCGAGUGCUCGGUGGUCGGUGCAGUCCUUGAAGUUCCGAGCUGAUAGACUGGGCGACCAGUCCCCGAGCGUCGAGUGCUCGGAGGUCGGUGCAAUCCUUGGAUUGUUGACUCUCUGGCAUAUGUGUCUUCUUGUUUUUGAAAAGAUCUUUCCAGUUAAAGUUGACGUGACGAGACCUCCUGACAGGGUGUCAGAUGGAUGCAUGAAAAAUUGCGCCUGGCAACUGUGCAGCCGCCCUUUGCAUGAUUUGAGAAAAGGAAACCAUCAAUUGGUACGAAAGUUCCGCCGCAUUAAUUGUCUAUAAUCAUUGUAAACCGAAACGCCGCAUCCGCCGCAUGGCCCGCCCACUUCCCGAGAUUACGGGAUGUGGGAGAGGUGGAGUUGCGGGUUAUAAGAGCCUGACAGUUCCGCCUAUACUGCUUACCCUGCCAUUGCCUUCAAGCCUUCCGCUCUCGCCUCCUUCAACCACCUGCAUCUUCCUAACUCAAGCCAACCUUCGCACCUCCAAUGGCGAAGAGCGACUCCAAGAAGAGGGCCGAACUGAUGGCCAAGGAGUGGAAAAAGUCCCGCAGCACCGCGAAAUCUCUUGGUGACCUCGUCGAUAUGGGGCUUCUGCACAGCCCGGAGCUCGGUGGCUGGAGGGCACCGGAGGGGGAGAGCUACCCCGACCCCCGCGCCGGUGAGAUCGUCGUAUUUGAAGAUUUCAUUAAGAGGGGCUUUGGUGUUCCUGUUCAUCCUUUUCUUCAAGGUCUUCUUUUGUAUUAUGAGAUCGGGAUUUGCAAUCUGCACCCGAACUCAAUUCUCCUCAUUUCCACUUUUAUCCACUUGUGCGAGGCCUAUGUUGGCAUAGAGCCGCACUUCGAUCUUUUUCGGUAUCUUUUCUGCUUGAGGAAGAAGGGAGCAGUUGGAGGUUCCAAGGUUGCAGGUGGAGUAUACCUCAACCUUCGUGAUGGAAUGAAGAAUCGCUACCUGCACUGUCCAUGGAACACUUUCUUGACCGAAUGGUACAGGAAGUGGUUCUACAUCAGGGAGGAACCGGGCAGCUCCACUUUCUGCGACGUGGGAUACAUUCCUGAGAAGAGGAUGAGCUGGACCGACCGCCCGGAGUUCGACGGUCCAGUGGCGGAUCUCAUGAAGCUGAUCGACUGGUCGCGCCUGGACGGGCUUGGCGUGGUCGGCAACUUCAUUUGUCGUCGGGUGAUGCCCUGCCAGAAGAGGGUGCACUCGGCGUACGAGUAUGCCGGAAGCGUGGACCCGACCAGGAUGCGAUCGGAGAUCUUGGAGAAAGCGGAGGUACAACAGCUGUUGAACGAGCUGUUUAACUUCGCGGACGGAGGCUUCAUCCGUGGCAGUGACCGGGUGCAAGCCUUCAAGUUAGGACGACCAGCACCAAAGGUAUGUAGCAGAUUAUUUUGUUUUAGCAUUCGUAUAUCGUCUGCACCUGACUCAUCUCUGUUGCUUUUGCAGAUCGGCGAUGUCGACCGGUGCACAGUGUAUGUAUCACUGGCACCGGGGAUGGAAAAUCCUGCGGGAGAAGACCCGCCAGAGGAGGACGCUGCUCGGUGUACUCAUUACACCAGCAGUGAGGAGGACCAAUCCCGCCCUGUCCCGACCUCCGAGGAGAGGGUAGCGGGGAAGAGGCCAUUGCCGGCAGAUCCCUUGCCGACACCGGAGCUGCCAGCAGAUCUACCGGCGGAGAGCAGCCAAGCACCGAAGCGUCGUCGGCUCGUGCGAAUCGUUGACGACGACGACGACGAUGAGGAGGCUGCGCCGUCGUUAGUCCGACGGGCUCGGAGCCGCCCAGAUAAUGCGCCGGCCGCUACUGAUCGAGUGGCCAGCGACCCCCCUGCACCGCAAGUUGUCGAGAUGGGGGCGCAGGUGCCGACCGGCCGGGCGAGGAGGAGGUUCACCGCGACCCACCGCCGAUCAGACCUGUAAGUGUUCGACUUACGUAUUUUGGAUUUCUCUUUGUUUUUUUUUUGAAAUUACACUUUUGUUCCUGUAGUGCGGCGUCGGAUGUCGACCCCGGCCAGGCUGCCAGCCAGGGGACGGGCGAGCCUGUCCGCGCUGCUGAAGAUACGGCUCCCCAGACCACAGAGCAGCCUACAGCUGCAGUCGCGCCUGGGAGCACCGAGGGGCUCCCGACCGCAGCACCGACUACGACAGGCAGCCCGACCAGGGCUGAAGAGGCUCCCUCAGCUGGCUCCACAGAAGAGGAGGGAAGAUCCCCGACCGCUCCUCCUGCCGGGAGGAGUGAAGUCCCCACGCCACCCCGAGCAGGACCCUCUUCGGCAGCAGGCUCCCCAGGUCUGGUCCGAGGGCCAGUAAUACCUGGGACCACCACCGGGGGUGGCGCAGCGCAGGAGGAGGAGACCCGGGCGGCCUCCGAUGACGAGGUGGAAGAGAUUGAGGGUCGUCCCCGUGAUGGCCGCCAACACGUUUAUGUGUGGCGCCAACGCGGGGAUCACUUUAUCGGGCAUGAGGAGCUCGCCGAGACCGAGGAGGCCGCCAGGGUGGAGCGCGCGGCCAAGCGCCUCGUCGACGAAGUCAAGGUAAGCGGCUUUUUGUACUGCUGUACAUUGUAUGCCUUGCCUUGCAUGGUCGUUAUACGCUUGCUUUGCAGGGCGUAAUGAAAACGGCAAAAUACCGGAAACGGUGCUUUGACCAAAUAGAAGGCGUCGUGGCCGAGAACAAGGCCCUUGCCGCAGAGGUAGACCGGCUGCGGUCGGAAGUCGGGGAGAAGGUGGCCGAGAUGAGUGCCCAAGAGGAGCGUCGUCUCGACCUCACUCGUCGCUUGGCCGAUCAGUACCGGCAGCGAGAAGGUUAGUCACACGCUCUGAGCAGCUUUGCGUACUUGUGUAGUUUGCUUUACUGACCAGUUUAUGAUUCACGCAGACUUGGAGGAGGAGGUGGCGCGCCUCCGACAAGAGAAGGAGCAGCUCAGCCAACAGCUCGCCGGUGCGCUGGAGUCCGGGCGGCGAGUGGAAGAGGAAUUGGGUCGAAAGGACCGGGAAUUAUCUGGUAAUGGGUGCUGCUGCUUGUUGCCCCUUUGUUUGUUUGGUAUGCCGAAAAUAACGUUUUGUUUCGUUUGCAGUGCUCAAGGUGAACACCAAGAAGCACCUGGAUGAUCUGAUCAAGGACCGGGACUCCUGGAAGGUCAACUGUUGCAGGAUCUGGAAAGGAGUGUCCCCGGUCCUAGACCUGAUCAGUCCCGAGCUCCCGGAGAGCCAGCCCCGCGCGCCGCAGUUGACCCCGGUCGAGAAGGCGCAACGGGCGUGGGACUGGCUCCAGCAGUUCGUGAAGGACGCCGGGGAGUUUGCCGGCGCGCACGUCCUCAGCAUGGUGCGCGCCCACUACCCCCUGGUCGACUUGAGACGGCUGGAGAAGGGGUACCCGAAGGAAGUCGGUCCACUGGAAGCAGACGAGCUUCGGGGUAGUCUGCUGGACUUGUCGUCGACAGUGAUCGGCGACAUCAAUCUGUGCGGAACGGCCACUCCCCCCGACCAGCCGAGUUCAGAUAGGUCGGCCAGGGAGUUGUCGGGCGCGUCCGUUGCGGGAGAUGGGCGGUCGACGCCUGCGGUCUCGACCAGCCAAGCGCCGGUGGCCCCGACCCCUUCGUCCGGGCAGCAGGGCCAGGCGGGUGAUCAGCCCGAGCAGCUAGGCCAGUAGUCUGUAGAAAUAGACUAGUGUCUGCCCGUCAGGGUAUUUAUUGUAAACUUUGUAUGUAAAGUUUGUAAUAAAGUUGGUCUUUUUUGUCAUGACUGUUAUUUUGAGCGCUGUAAGAAUAUCUGAGUGACGUGUCACCGUAUUCGUCUUGGUAGUUGUUAAGAGCAUCCAUUGCAGGAGUUUUGCCGAGUGCUGUGUGCGACAAGGUACAGGCAAAAAAUAGAGAAUUUCAUUAUCAACAAUUAUAAGAUACUUACGAAGGAAAGUUAUCAAAACUUUAUGGAUAGAAACGUCGCAGCUUGUCGAUGUGCCAAGAGUUAGGCACUCGCGUUCCAUCUGGGUAUGCCAAUCUGUAGGACGUAGGUCGUGUGACCUCGAUCACCACGAAGGGUCCCUCCCAGGGAGUGGAUAGCUUGUGCAUUCCCUCCUGGCUUGUUUUCCAUCGAAGUACCAGAUCGCCGACCACGAAGGAACGGUCCUUGACAUUCCUGUUGUAGUAUCGCCUGACUGCCGCGAGAUAUUUUGCUGUUCGGAGACAGGAAUCUAAACGCUUUUCCUCCAUGCAAUUGAUUUCGAGUUCUCUGGCGUUGUCGGCGGUCGCCUGGUCGAAGUGUUCGAUUCUAGGAGAUCCGAAGUGUAUGUCAGACGGCAGGACCGCCUCUGCACCGUACACCAUGAAGUAGGGAGACACCCCUGUGUUUCGACUGGUCUGAGUUCGGAGGCCCCAGACCACUGCCGGCAAUUCUUUCAUCCAUCGACCGGGCGCUCUGUCGUUUUCGGUGUACAACCUUUUCUUUAGGGCGUCAACGAUCAUUCCGUUAGCACGUUCCACUUGACCGUUGGCACGUGGAUGUGCCACUGACACGUAUUUUAUGACUAUGCCUCUGUCAUCGCAGAAGUCCCAAAAAGUGGUGCCAGUAAACUGAGUGCCCAGGUCGGUGAUUAUGCUGUUCGGGAUGCCGAAUCUGUGUAUGAUUUGAUUGAGGAACUCCACAGCCUUCUCGGAGGUUGCCUUGACCAGAGGCAUGUAUUCAAUCCACUUGGAGAACUUGUCGAUUAACACGAAAACAAACUUGAAAUUGCCCGGGGCUGGUUUAAAUGGCCCGAUCAUGUCAAGCCCCCAGCAAGCAAAGGGCCAAGACGACGGGAUGGUUUGAAUUUCGUGGGCAGGUACGUGGGUCCUCUUAGCGAAAAACUGGCAUCCUUCACAAUGUCGAACCAGUUUUUCUGCGUCGCCGACCGCGGUUGGCCAAUAAAAACCUGCUCGGAAAGCCUUUCCGACCAGCGUUCUGGAUGCGGCGUGAUUGCCGCAGGAUCCAGCAUGUAUGUCCUCUAAGAGCUUGAUACCAUCAUCUUGGGGUACGCACUUGAGCAGUACUUCGGAGCUUGCGUUUUUCCGCAUGAGUUUGCCGUCGACCAGGACGUAGUUCUUUGAUCGUCGAAUGAGGCGCUCGUUCUCUGUUUUGUCCUGGAGGCCUAUCCCGUCUGAUAUGUAUUUGAUGAACGGGGUACGCCAGUCAGGCCCACCGGUUGUCGGAGUGGCGUCGUCUAUGAGCAUUGCCUCGGUGGGCUGCUUGUCGACCAGGGAGGAGCCUACGCUCGGCUCGUGGAUGUCCUGGACGAAAAUACCCCGCGGGAUCUGGGCCCGAGAUGAGCCUAACUUCGACAACGCAUCUGCUGCUUGGUUCUUAUCCCGGACCACGUGGAUGUACUCUAUGCCGUAGAAGUUGGUUUCCCAUUUGCGAAUUUCUUUGCAGUAGAGAUCCAUCUUCUCGUGGGUUGCGUCCCACUCCUUGUUGAGCUGGUUGAUGACCAAAGCGGAGUCGCCAUAAACAUAGAGGCGCUUGACUCCCAGCUCUACGGCUAGUCUUAUGCCAUGCAAGCAUGCUUCGUAUUCGGCGACGUUGUUUGACGCCGGAAAAAGGAUCCGAAGGACGUAACGCAGUUUGUCCUUGUUGGGUGAUACGAACAGUAUCCCAGCGCCGGCACCGUUGAUGUUCAAGGACCCGUCAAAGAACAUUGACCAGUGGUCUGAGGCAUCGGGAACGGAAGGCUCGUUGAGAUCCGUCCAUUCAGCAAUGAAAUCGACCAGGGCCUGAGACUUGACAGUGGUGCGACUCUGGAACUCCAGGGAAAAUGGACAUAAUUCCAUUGCCCAUUUCACGAUUCUGCCAUUGGCGUCUUUAUUGCGCAGGAUGUCCCCGAGAGGGAAACUGGUUGUCACCAGGACUCGAUGGCCGUCGAAGUAGUGCUUCAGCUUUCUUGACGUUAUUAGAAUGGCGUAUAUGAGCUUCUGUAUUUGAGGAUACCUGGCCUUGGACUCGUUUAAGACUUCACUUAUGAAGUAAACCGGUCUCUGGACCUUGUAGGCGUGACCUGGUUCACCUCGCUCGACCACUAUUGCCGUGGAGACAACCCUGUCGGUUGCAGCAAUGUAAAGGAGUAGGUCUUCAUUGGGCUGAGGCGCUGUAAGGACAGGUGGUGAAGUGAGGAAGGUCUUAAGCUGGUUGAAUGCGGUGUCGGCUUCUUCUGUCCAAGAAAACUUUUCCGACGCUUUUAACAGUUUGAAGAAAGGGAGGCCUUUUUCUCCUAGCCUUGAGAUGAAGCGACUGAGGGCGGCCAUACAUCCUGUUAGCUUUUGGAUAUCCUUUACGUUCUUUGGUGGUCGCAUGUCAAGUACCGCCUUUACUUUUGAAGGGUUUGGUCGUAUGCCGUCGCGACUAACAACGUUGCCGAGCAGUAGACCAGAAGGAACACCGAAAAUGCAUUUUUUGGGGUUGAGCUUCCACUUGUACCUAUUAAGUGCCUUGAAGGUUCGGUCUAAGUUGUCGAUUAGGGUGCUCGCGUCCCUUGUUUUUACGACCACAUCGUCCACAUAGGCCUCGACGAGGUCAUCACGAAUCUCGUCGUGGAGGCAUUGCUGGAUGGCCCUUUGAUAAGUGGCUCCGGCGUUUUUGAGUCCGAAAGACAUGGUCGUGUAGCAGUAUGCGCCGAAGGGUGUGAUAAAGGAUGUUUUGAUCUGAUCUUCUUCCUUUAGCGAGAUCUGGUGAUAACCAGAGUAGCAGUCUAGAAAGGAGAGGAGUUCGCAUCCGGCCGUUGAGUCGACCACCUCGUCGAUGCGAGGGAGACCAAAAGGAUCUUUAGGACAGUGUUUGUUGAGAUCAGUGUAAUCAACGCACAUUCUCCAUUCAUUAUUCUUUUUGCGUACAAGAACCGGAUUGGCGAGCCAAUCGGGGUGAUACACUUCUUUUAUGAAUCCGGCUGCUAGAAGCCGUGUUAUUUCUGUCCUAAUAGCCUCCUUUUUGUCGCGAGCGAACCGUCGCAGUUUUUGCUUGAUUGGUCUUGCGGUCUUCGAGACAUUUAAGGAGUGCUCGAUCAGGUUUCGUGGGACACCGGGCAUGUCUGCGGGUUUCCAUGCGAAAACGCUCACGUUGUCCCUUAGAAACCUGACGAGCGUGUCUUCCUAUUUUGGAUCCAGGUUGGCCCCGAUGAGGGCUGUCUUCUCGGGGUUGCCUUCGACCAGCUGCACUUCUUUGUACUCCUUGGAUUUCGAGUUCUUCCUGGCUGUCGUCUGUUCGGGUAAUCGGAGCUGGUCGGGAGGCAGCUGUGCGGCUUGGUUUGCUGUUUCCGCCAUGCGGAUUGAGAUGUCAAUUGCCUCGGUGAUCUUGAAGCUUUCUUCUUCGCAGGUGUACGCAGUGUAGACGUUGCCUUUGACGGUUAGGACACCCUUCUCCGUGGGCAUCUUAAGGACUAGGUAUGAGUAGUGCGGGACUGCCAUGAACUUUGUCAGCGAUGGGCGGCCCAGUAUGGCGUGAUAGGUCCCGUCGAAAUCCGCGACUACGAAGUUGAUGAACUCCGUCCGGAAGUGGUCGGGUGUGCCGAAUUGGACAGGCAAUGUUAUCUGUCCGAGAGGCACGGAACUUUGACCUGGCAAAACCCCCCAGAAUUGGGCGUCGUAAGGUUUUAGUUGUGCCGGGGAUAUCUUGAGGGCGGGCAGGCUGUUGCGGAAGAGGAUGUCGAUGGAGCUUCCCCCGUCCACGAGCACGCGCUCGAAUCUGAUGCUGUUGAUGCAGGGGUCAAGAAUCAGGGGGAAACGACCCGGCUCUGGGAUAGCGGCCCACUGGUCCUUCCUGCUGAAAGAGAUCUCCCUGUGGGACCACGUGGGAAAUUUUGGGUCUGCGAUCAGCCCGUCCGUGCUGUCUAUGUUGAGGCAGGCUCUCUUUAACAGCUUUCUUUCCCGCUUGGACUCGGUGGAGACCUUGCCCCCGAAAAUGGAGUGGACCACGUCAGUGGGGCUGACGUAUUGGUGUCGGGGGUCCCUAUCUUGGUCCUCAUCCUCAUCUUCGUGGUCGUGCCCGUCGCGCUUGUUAUUUUUCUUGGCGGAGUCGUCUUGGGCGGCCCGCCGUGUAUAGAUACUUUUGAGGACGUGGCACUCUUCCAUGGUAUGAUUGGACUUUGGGUGUAGUUGGCAUGGUCCCUUCAACGUUUUGUUGUAGUCUUCUUGGUAAUCCCGUCGUCCAUUGGGACGUUUGACCGUAUUUACUUCGUGGUCGUAGUCACGAGGGCGCUUUCCUCUGAAGUUGUCGCGGCUGUUGCGCCGCCGAUCCCAACCCUCUCGGUGAUCGCGAUUGUCGGAGCGGCGGUGGCUUCUGCUGUCGUAGCGACCACGACCGUCAUCUCGCCGGGGAGGCUGGUCGGGACCUCUCGCAUCGUCUCGGAUUAGUUUUUUUGCGUCAUCGGCAUCGGCGUAAUUUUUGGCCGUGGCGAGGAGCUCUGCUACCGUUGUUGGGCGCUUGCGCAACAGCUUGUUCCUCAGCGCUUCAUGGAAACGCAGGCCCUUGAUGAAGGCUGAGAUGGCCUCGUCAUGGGAAAUCUUCGGGAUUUUGAGGCGCAUAUCCGAGAAUCGUCGGAUGUAAUCGCGCAGAGGUUCGUUCUUCCUGUCCCUUAUCCUUUCAAGAUCAUACUUAUUUCCAGGCUGCUCGCAUGUGGCGAUGAAGUUGUCGAUGAAAGCCUGGCGUAGCUCUUCCCAAGAGUCGAAGGAGUCCUCGGGCAAGCCGAGAAGCCACUGAUGACCAGCCUGGUCGAGGACUACGGGGAAGUAGUUGGCCAUGACGUGCUCAUCCCCUGCCGCUGAUCGGACGGCGAUUUCAUAGAGGGUGAUCCAGUUCUCUGGAUUUUCCUUGCCGUCGUAUUUUUUAAGUUUUUCGAGCUUGAAAUUGCGGGGCCACACGACCUGGCGGAGGUGUGAGGAGAACUGUCUUAGGCCCGGAGGCCCGUGCGUUGCAUCGUACUCGAUGCGGCGCAGGUUUUCGUGGACUGCUCUCUCUGCGGCGCGCCUGUUGAUGCGGUCCCGGGCAUCUUUGGGAGGGAUGUUGUGGCGGAGAUCCCAGUGUUGAUCUUCUUCUUGGCCGCGUACGCGGUUCUGCUUGCGGCGGCCAUCGGCGUCCCGACCACCAUCGUCACGCCGUGAGUCCCCUCGACGGUUGUCGGGGGAGCGGCUGUGGUGACGCCUGCUGGGUGAGGCCCGGCUACGAUUAGUCUGGUCGGAGGCGGCUUCCGUAUAAGAGACGUCCUGGACUCUCUUGAGCAGAGUGGCUGUCUGUCCCAUUGCGGCGAUCAGGUGUGCUCGGAUGCUGGUCCGGACUCCCUGGCAUUCGGGGGUGUCAGGAAGCCGAUCCAGGUUAGCCAUGGCGACAGCCACGUUGGCGCUUGGCGUUUUGUAGACUGGCUGGUCCCCGACCAUAUCAAAGGCAUCGUUGAGAUUAUUUGGUGGCAUUUGUUGUUGCUCGUCCGCACGUCGUCGGGCGCGAUCGGCGUUACGCUGUUCGCGGAGUUGCCUCUGGUCAUCUGUUUCUCCAUCAACGAACGGUUCGUCGGCGCUGACAUUGAACACAAUAUCCCCUCGCCGGGGGGGGAAUAUCGGGAAUCGGUCGAAACCCGGAGGGUGUGAAGGAAAAUCCAGGUCGUAGUCCUCGUCUUCGGUGUUUAUAACCUCGGUGGGGACGGAGCCGGUGCUUGAGUUGGUGCUGGAAACCUGGCCGUCCCGUAGUUCUCGGAUUGUCACCAUGUUGACGUGGUGACGAUUGUUCCUUGUCGGCGACCAACCCGCCUUGCUGAAAACGGAUUGGGUGUGCUGUGAGUAAACAGAGGCCGAGUUGUUCAGGCCGCAAGGAUAGUCUUCCUUCUUGAGCUCGACGGAUCGUCCUGAGGGGGUUGAGGUUAUCGUCAGAGACGUUCCCAGCCGUUCGUGUGUGGCGACACGAGUUGGCCGGCGGGAUUUGAAAAAAUCCGCUGGAGCGGCUUGGUCGGGCCGACGCAGAACUCCAUCUAUUAGUUGGGAAACUUCGAGUAGCUUGGAGUUAGCGCGAUCAAGCGCUUGGAGAAGGUCCGAGCAGUCGAUCUCCCUUCCCUUGUAGAGUGGGAACGGUGGUCGGGCGCUUGGUGCCGUCAUGCGUGUGGUCGGAGACGGCGUGAUCUCAGAUUGGAUCUGGAUCUCUUUCGAAACCGUGGUCGCGAAACCACCGCUGCACGUCGUCCACGUGAUCUGGCCGACGGUGAACGUGAGGCCUUCGGGCACGGUCGCGGAAGCUGGGAUCGUGACCAUCUUGUUCGCCGGAAAAGUUGCACGCACACCCCCUACCUGGCGCGCCACUGUCGACGAAAGCUGGUCGGCAGUCUACCUUGGGGUAUACCCACGGUAGUAGUUUGUCGGUAGACGGUGCGCAAACUACGAACUCGAUGGUGACGCAAGACACGGACAAGCUUUUUAUCGAGGUUCGGCCGCCGAGUUGGCGUAAUACCUACGUCCUGCGUCUGGUUGUAUUGAUUUGUGUUGAGAGAAUAUGAUGUGUCCUAGGGGGGUCCCUUGCCCCUCCUUAUAUAGUCUGGAGGGCAGGGUUACAGAUCGGGAAACUAAUCCUAGUCGGUUACAAUUGCCAUGGAUAAUUCGAUAUCAGAUCCUAUUCUAACCGACUAGAAUCCUGCUCGAUCUCCACAUCUUGUUUCCUUGCGCGAAACUCCAGGUUGUCGGAUCAAGCCUUGAACUCGUCUCGUAAUGGGCCAAGCCUCCUGGCCGAAGUCUAGCCGUAAGGGUAUAGGGGUUUAUACCCCCACAGUUUUCACCCAUUAGUAGGGUGGCCUCUAGUCGGACAGCCAGACCGGGUUGCCUAUGCGCUUGAGCCCAUGAAUCCUGGUAUGGCCGAAUUUGAACCCGGCCAAGCUGACUUUUUGUUGUAUGCUAAACCAAUUCGUUUUCAAAUUGGUAUGUGACGUGAAAACUUGGAAAACACACUUUGGAGUGUUGUUUUUUACUAGAUAAGACCAUUCUUUGUAUGAGAGGAUCAUGUCCAAUUGAGGAUCUCCACUUUUUUCAAUCAUCAAAAAGCACAUCUAUUAUACUCUUUUACCCCCUCCUCUCUCUACCUUGAUGUUCAUCAUGUCUCCCAGCAAGAUUUGACAGCGUUUUAGGUGACCUUGCUGAUCCUAGGACAUCAUGCUCCUCCCUGAAGUAUUUUUUCGAGAGGUGUUUGGGAGUCUACCAAGCGAAUGAUAGGUUCUACAUCAGCCUAACCGGUUUCUAGAUCGGUUUCGUCGGUUUGUCACGCUUCUCGCUGCGUUCAAGGUCAUAUGUCAGCCACGUGUUUGCUAUUCGAUGUCAAUACAUUCCAAUUUGAGGCCUUGUUUAGUUCACCCCAAAAAAACAAAAACUUUUCAAGAUUCCUCGUCACAUCGAAUCUUGCGGCACACGCAUGAAGCACUAAAUAUAGACAAAAAUAAAAGCUAGUUGCACAGUUACUACACAAUUAGACAAAUAUUUAUCAAAUAAAAACAAAAGUGCUACAGUCCCGAAAAUCAAAAAGUUUUUGAAACUAAACAAUGUCUGAAUAAUGUUAUAUAAAUCAGCGAAUCAUUCUGGCUGGGAAUCGUUCUCAGUCGACAACUUUUUAUAGAGAGAAGCUUUUACCCGAACCAUUGGAAAGUACCCGUGGAUUCAAUCGUUUGAGGCAUCACGUGAUGGAACCAGUUCUUGCCAUCGGAGGUAACCAGUUUUUGCCAGGCGCGGCGGCGCGUGAUGAGCAGGAUGAGACCUCGUUGACAACGAGGCGUGCUCGUGUGCUGCUGCUGGGCAAGGGCAAGUCGUGCAUGCAAGGCAACGUACAUGUGUCUGCCCGACAACAGUGGGAUUAUUGAGCUGUAGCGCCGAAACGUUAGCCAUUCGAGGUUUCGUUCUCUCCUACCCAUACACACGUGCAUGUGAACCGAUCUAGUAGUAGAAAUUCCGUGACAGACACUGAGACACCGGCCGAUCGCAAAAACCUACUCCUCCGAAUUGAACUCCGAUCCGUUGGGCCCCAGCAUCAACAUGCACCUGUGUAGCCUAUAGGAGUACAACACGUGCUUAAUUAACUUCAUCCAAGGCCAAGGACACGGGGAAAGAGGGCAAAGCAGAACCAGGAACAGGAAUGAAUGUUCGUCGCAGCAGGCCAGCGGCAGCGGCAAGCAACCGUCGCCGGGUUCGCGCGCCGAGAUCGAUCGAGGCCCCCCCGAACCCGAGCAUCGUGCUCCUCCCGCGCCCGGCACCGUCCCGCGGUACACGCGGUCCGUCCUUCCGUCCUCGCGCCGGGCCGUGCCCGCCGCUAGCUAGCUGCCGUUUUCCAGAUUCCCAGUUCCAAUUCCAAUUCAAGCGCUGCGCCGCGCCUGCGUGCGUGAACCUGCGGACAUGCGUGGCUGCGUGCAUGCGGUGCGAACGAGACGAGAAGACGACACGACACGGGCGCGCCUGUCCCGGCGGGCCUGUCUUUCCGUGCGCGCCCACCUCGUUUCCCGCCGGGUUCGCCUCCACCCGAUCCGGCGGCCGCAAACACACACACACACACGAACUCCCGCGCCGGGAAUUGAACGGUUCACGGACGUAGUACAGUUAGGGCCAGUCUUAAUGCAUACUCCCUCCGUCUAUGAAAGAGUCAAUUUCCAGAGUUGUCCUAAGUCAAAUUUUUUAAACUUUGACCAAAUUUCUAGAAAAAAAAUGCUAAGAUUUAUGGUAUCAAAUUAGUAUCAUUAGAUUCACCAUAGAAUAUAUUUUUAUAUGAUGUGCAUUUUAUAUCAUAGAUGUUGUCACUCUUUUCUAUAAAGUUAGUCAAACUUUAACAUAGUUAUCAAGACUAUAAACUAGGAGGGAGUAGUUUCAUAACAUAGUUAUCAAGACUAUAAACUAGGUAACCGAGCCACAAAAGUUUCAUAGAGAUGAAACUCCUCUCUCAUCUGAUGAAACUCCUUCAUUUAAUGACUCUGCUAAGAAAGCAAUUUUACUUAUGUGGCAUCCUAUUUAAUAUGCAUGACACUCUCAUAAAACAUGCAUUGAGCCCGCGUAUACGUUGACUCCAUCAGGCAUUCAGGCACGUGCGUCAUCAUUCACUAGUGUACUUGCAUGCAUGCUCUGGUUUGUAGGCUAAAAGCUCGCUCUGGAGUCUGGAGUGCGUGGGUAGUACACCAGCUUAGUGCCGAUCCAUUAUGGAACGACACAUGCGUGGUGGUGGCGCUUGAUUCUAGCGGUUGGCCGGGCUUUGCCAACGCGGACUCCAUGUGGCGCGGGCGCGGCACCGAUCGGUCGCCAUCCGCCGCGCGCAACCGCCGCCCAUCGCCUGCCCGCGCGAAAAAACUACGCACGCGGCGCGCUUCUCUCUGUCGUCGUACUACCUACAGUGCUUGCCCCCCGGAAAGACUUCGCACGAUCAGAAAACCAACUUUUUGGACUCCUAACAUGUGAAUGUGAUUAAGAUUAAGAAACUAGACACAUAUUUGUGGUAUAUAUGGGGAAAAAAACCUAUAACGCUUAGUAUUUGGUUUGGCGGAUAAUGGAUAUUCUCUCACGCCCCAAAAACCAAACACGUUGUAUGGAUUAUAUAUGCAAAUAUCAUAAUAUGUACUCCCUCCAUUUUAAAGUAUAAGUCACUUCAGUUUUUUUUUUCUUACAUAAAAGUUGUUGUGUAUCUAGAGAUAUGUUGUAGCUAGAUACAUACAUAGCAAGAAAACAUAGCGAUUUAUAAUUUGGAUUAGAGAAAGUAGUAACAUAUGUAUUUGUAGCUUUGGUUAAUAAUGAUUGAUAUUCCUUCCAUUUGUAUAACUUCCAAACAACGUGUGUAUUGACACUAUAGUAAAGUAAAUUUUGUUACUAAUACUAUUACUAAGGCUCUGUUUGGACACAUUAGCUUAUUAACUGAUUUGGUCAAAGUAGUGAAAUAAUUGUUAGUUUAGUAUUAGCUACAUUUGUUUAGAUCCAAAGAAGCUAAUUAUAGCAGCUAAUUAUUAACUCCAUCGAUCCAAACAGGCCUAUAGAUUGGAUGCACUAGCUGCUAAUAACUAAUUACUCGUAGCUAGUUGCUAUUAGCUUGGUAAAACUAGUACUAGUUGUUAGCUAGCUACUAGAUCUAUUAAUCCAAGCAGGGGCUAAGCAUUAUGGUAAUAAUUCUUGAACCAAAAUAAGUAGAGGGUGCAAAGUUGCUGCUGCCGAGUUUUAAUUUCUUGUGGUUUGUGACCGUAAGAAACCAAAGGCCAACGUGAGAGCUUAGCGUGACUUACACGACAUAAAUGAAGUGGAAAUGUGGGCUCUUGCAGGGAUUGCUUGCUGGUACUCCUGAUUUUUGACAAAGAUUUGUUCAUGUCUUUAACCGAAAAAGUUAGAAAUUGACAUGUACACACCUGGCAUGACGAAGAGCCGUGAAUAUGUACACAACACGAUAGGUUUUUUUUUUCAUAUAUAUACUAUAAUCUUCUAUUAGUAUUCUCGAAAAAACAUAAUCUUCUUGUAGCUUUCUACAUAAUGAUAUCGUUCCGCAGCAAAAUGAAUUACCUAGAAAAAUAGGUCUCGCCAGCGUCUCAGAACAAAGGUUGCACCAUUUUUUAAAAAAUAAAAUGUAGGAAAAGUUGGUACACUUUCCGUGUGUUUUAUUUUUUUUUUCUUUUUAAUGUAAACAAGGGGGAAAAUAUAUAUCAUGUUUAUAUCCUAUUUUAAUGUAAACAAGGAAAAAUUAUAUAUUUACAUGUGCAUCUUGGUUUGCAGAAUCUCAAGAUCAUGUUUAUAGCUAUAGGAACAUAUUAUUUAUAUGUCAGAUGUCGACCAAAUGACGGACAUGGUUGAGACGCAAAACACCUGGAGAUUCUAAAAACAGUUGCGUAUCAGCUAGCGUCGUUGCAGUACAGCCGUUGUUGAUCUUAAUUCAACGAGAUAAACGGUCAGGUCCGGGCGUUCCCAACCAACUCACAAAUUUUCAAACCCCUUUAUAUCAUCAUUAAUUACUCAUUAGCAGGUCAAGACAAUCAUGAAUCGCCAUGACAAAUCACCCCACACCGAGAUGAUAAGUAGGUUAGAGGAGGAAGACAACUUGUUCUUCAUGGUCAUGGCCGAUCGUCAUCAGUCAUCACCGUCACCUGCGUACACAAAAUCCGCUGAGAUGCCACGUCAGACUGCUGACAUGGUCAAGUGCAUGCAGGAAGGUGCCCUGUUCCCAGCAACAAGCAAGCUCAACUGCCCAAGCCCACAUCGUUGACUCCUCUAUCCCUUGGUGGGGCCCAGUAGUGCCGCCGGCCGCCCCUGCCGCUGCUGCUUGCUAUAUAAACGGCCUCCGCUUCCCGCCCUCUUCACCGGCUCACUUCCAAACAGAAUCGCUUUGCUCUGCUCUAGUAACCAGGACACGCACCGGCCGCGGAAACAGGCGCCGUGUUUCCUUGGUGUCCCUCUCGACACAGGCACAGGCAGGGGAAGGGAAGGCCGGCGAUGGAGAUGGAGGCGGAGCUGGCGUCGGGACGGUGGUGGACGUGGAACGCCGCGGCGGGGGCGUGUCUGCUGCUGCUCCUCAUGCACGUGGCGGCGCGGGUGGCGGACGCGCUCUGGUGGCGCCCGCGCCGGCUGGAGGCGCACUUCGCGCGGCAGGGCGUGCGCGGGCCGCCGUACCGCUUCCUCCUGGGCUGCGUCACGGAGAUGGUCGCGCUCAUGGCGGAGGCCGCCGCGAAGCCCAUGUCGCCGCCGGACUCGCACGACGCGCUCCCGCGGGUGCUCGCGUUCUACCACUACUGGAGGAAGAUCUACGGUACGCAUACGCAAACGCAUGCGCUACGUUCUUGUCGAGAUCGUCGUCGUUGGUUCUUCGCUUGUUGUCCGGCUCUGGAGCUGAGUGACAUAUAUUAAUGGCGGCUCCGGCGGCUCGUGGUGGCGCAUGCAGGACCCAUGUUCUUGAUAUGGUUCGGGCCGACGCCGCGGCUCACGGUGGCGGACCCGGAGCUGGUCCGCGAGGUCCUCCUGACACACGCCGACGCGUUCGACCGCUACGAGGCGCACCCCGUCGUCCGGAAGCUGGAGGGACAUGGCCUCAUCAGCCUCCACGACGACAAGUGGGCGCUCCACCGCCGCGUCCUCACCCCGGCCUUCUACCCCGACAACCUCAACGUACGCGCACACCGCUCUGUUUCUCUCUCUCUCUCUCUCUCGGUUGCUUUAAUCUGAUGAUCGCUGUCGGCAAUCAAUUCAAUGGUGGCGCGACACUGACACGUGCCCUGUCCCUUCCCGCGCGCAGCGGCUGGCACCGCACGUCGCCAGGUCGGUGGCGGCGCUGGCGGAGCGGUGGCGGGCCAUGGCCUCCGCCGCCCCCGGAGGCGAGGUGGAGCUGGACGUGGCGGAGUGGUACCAGGCCGUCGCCGAGGAGACCAUCGCGCGCGCCACGUUCGGCCGCAGCUACGACUCCGGCCGCGUCGUGUUCCGCAUGCAGGCGCGCCUCAUGGUCUUCGCGUCCGAGGCCUUCCGCAAGGUCUUCGUCCCCGGGUACAGGUUCUUGCCGACCAAGAAGAACCGGAUGCAGUGGAGCCUGGACAGGGAGAUCAGGCGGGGACUCGUGGCACUCAUCGGCAACCGCAGCAUGGAGGCCGCGCGUCAAGACGAAGACGAGGACGACGCCGAACUCAACGACAAGGGAAGCAACGGCGGCUUCCGGGACCUGGUAGGGUUCAUGAUCAAUGCCAACGACAAGAAGACGAAGAAGUCGGCGCCGGCGAUCCCCGUGGAGGACAUGCUGGAGGAGUGCAAGACGUUCUUCUUCGCCGGCAAGCAGACGACCACCAACCUGCUGACCUGGGCCACCGUGCUCCUCGCCAUGCACCCGGACUGGCAGGAGCGUGCUCGCCAGGAGGUCCUCGCCGUGUGCGGCGGCGCCGACGAGCUCCCGUCCAAGGAGCACCUCCCCAAGCUCAAAACGGUACGCCAGCUCCAGCUCCCCGUUGCACGUUUCUUUACAUUUGCAGUCCCUUUCCCAGUGGGGGCAUUUCGGUAACUCCGCAACGACAAAAAGUCUCACUUUGUUUGUUCCUCCCUCUCCCCUCGUUGUCUCUCUCUCUGACACACACAGCUGGGGAUGAUCCUGAACGAGACGCUCCGCCUGUACCCGCCGGCGGUGGCCACGAUCCGGCGCGCGAUGCGCGACGUGACGCUCGGCGGCGUGUCCAUUCCCCAGGACACCGAGCUGCUGAUCCCGAUCAUGGCGAUGCACCACGACGCCGCGCUCUGGGGCCCCGACGCCGCGCAGUUCAACCCGGCCCGGUUCGCCGCCGGCGGCGCGGCCAAGGCGGCGUCGCACCCGCUGGCGUUCAUCCCGUUCGGGCUCGGCCCGCGGAUGUGCAUCGGGCAGAACCUGGCGCUCCUGGAGGCGAAGCUCACGCUGGCGGUGGUGCUCCAGCGGUUCCACCUCGCGCGGUCGCCCAGCUACGUGCACGCGCCCACCGUUCUCAUGCUGCUCUACCCGCAGUACGGCGCGCCGGUGAUCUUCCGGCCGGUGACGACGACGGAGACGACGGGACCACCACCGUCCUGAUGUGAACCAUGUCCAUACGACGUACUACUAAGCUACCACUAGUGAAUAGUAGUGUGAUAGUAGGGAACAGAAGAGCCAAGGAAACCACUAACAAAAAAAAAGAAGCUUGUCCUGUCGUGGCAUGGCAUGGCCGGUGGCGGGACGCCCGGACCCGGACCCGGACCGGACCUCCCUGCUUUCUGGGCCGCCGGCCGGUUGGUUAGUUGCCGGAAAUGCCCCCCGUUGGUAGAGUAGAACAAGACCGGAACCGGAGCAGAGAGAGUCUUGGACUUGACGAUGGCGUGGAAGAAGACCAACAAACCAACCCCACAUCUGCUGUCGGGUCGGUUCCAUUUGUUGGCUUCUCCUUCCGUGGAUUCUUUCUCGCGUGUGUGUGACUGUGUGCAGCCGGAUCGGAGCUACCGUCGUCCAGCUAUGCAUAUGUAUGUGUACAGGCUUGUAUUUGUUUGUUUAUUUAUAUAUAUAUAUACCUACACAAAAUUAAAGUUUUGUAAGAUGGGAUUGAUUGGAAGGAGAGAGUCCAAAAAAACAGCGCAAAAGGAAAUGGGGACGGGAUCGAUCGAUAUUUGUUCGCGUUGCGUUGCACGCGGUAUUCCAUUCCGCGCAGGCGGCGCAGUGUUGUGAUCCGCUACUUUUUUUUGUUUUUGCGUGUGGUGUGGGCGGUGCGUGUCGGGUGCCCGCGACAACGCAAUUCGAUGGAGAAUCCGCUGGGUGCUACAGGACCGCGCCGGCCCUUUGCGCUGUCUCGCUCUCAGCUGCCAGGUACAUUAGAUAGAUGCUAACUGAAAUCUCCUGUAGCUGGUGUAUCCGUACUACUAGUAGUAUAGUACACACACCAUCGCGUGGCGUCGGGUGCCUCGUCGCCAGCAUGCAUCAUCUCUGACGCUGAUAAGCACUCCCAGCAAAGGCCCCUCUCCUCCAGCGAGCUCUCAACGCCUCUACCAUGCAUAGCUGAAUCUAUCACUGUCGAGAGUGUCGACCGCCAGCAUGCGCAUUCUCUGAUAUACCAUCGUUUUCACACAUCUAGUAGCUCGCUUAAGGCCGUUUUCGUGAAGUGAUUCAUAACAUUAUUUUUAAAAAGCUAGAUUAAAAAAAUAUUAUUCUUUCUUAUAUAUAUAUAUAUAUAUAUAUAUAUAUAUAUAUAUAUAUAUAUAUAUAUAUAUAUAUAUAUAUAUAUAUAUAUAUAUAUAUAUAUAUAUAUAUAUAUAUAUAUAUAUAUAUAUAAUUUCAUGACUUAUCUAGAUCUGAAAACCGAAUCAAUUUCUACUUUGCUGCCUUACCAAUCUUUCUAUGUUAGUCCGGGAGCAAACUCCUGACAGCAACAUGAUGUUGCCUUGUAGCCUCUAAAACAUGCGAGCCGUUUUGGCCUAAAAUAAAUAGUUUUCUAGGUGGGGAUCGCCUCCCCCGUUGACCCUAAAAAAAACCGAAUCAAGAGUGUUUUAUCUUGCUUCUUUUCUCUCUUCGUAAAAACUUGUCAUUUCAUAAAAAAAUACUUAUGUCACAACCUAUUAUAUAUAGAUAGAACUUUCAUUGCGACUGGUCUAAUUACCUCUCGCUAGCCACCAUUAUCUCCUAGCAAUGUUGCCACCACAGUGCAGGUGCUUCUUUUGCCCGGUAGACUUUUGUUACAUAUCCUUCCACACCACCCUAAAAUUUAAUCUCACAGAGACAUUGCCUAACGCGAGGAAGAAGAGAGGGCCAACAAGAAACAUAAACCACACCAAAGGAUUGAAAAACACAACAUAUAUGGAACAAAACUAGUCAUUCGUCCCCAGCACAAAACCCUGAGUGUAGGAUUAAGCAAAUUCAGUUUUUCUUUAUGAAAAAAAUUGAGCAAAGGUUUACAGAAAAGUUUUGAGAAAGGCGACACGUCACACGUGAAGUCACAAAGACUACAUAAUUCCACCACAAGCCUUGUUUAGUUCGUGCACUGUGGUGGCCUACAGAAUUCUGCCACCAUAGUACAAUACUGAGGCUAUGUUUAGUUCACGAAAAAUUUUUGGUUUGAUUGUUGUAGCACUUUCGUUUGUAUUUGACAAUUAUUGUCUAACGAUAGACUAACCGGUUCAAAAGAUUUGUCUCGCAAAUUACAGACAAACUGUAAUUAAUUUUUUUAUAUAUUUAAUACUCUACAUGUGUUCAAAGAUUCGAUGAGAUAAAAAAUCUUGAAAAUUUUAAAAAAGUAAACAAGGCCUGAAUUGCAUCAUUAUUUUUUUGGGUUAACGAACUCUGUUGCAUGGCCGUUUUUGGUAAGCGACUGGUUUUUAUUACAGGUAGGCUAUAACCGGAUCCAAUACGGACGGAUCAUUACUAGUUACAGUUACCGGUAACGCUGUGCGUGUGAAGAGCAGGUAAAGUUGAGUUGUUGCAAUUAAUUGGUGGGGCGUGUAUGUACUCCGUACAGUAUACCACAAAAACCAUGCAUGCACUGAUUCGUUUGUGCGUUUCCACCAGAUUUGUACCGGAGCGGCGCGUUGCGUCCCGAACGGGACGCGCCGAUGUGAAAUGUCAUGUUUUAUGCUUUGCACAAGCAAACAAACUCCGUUUUCUGUCACUUCACCUCCGCCGGGGAACAAGGCCGGAGGAGAGCUGGAGCGCGAGGACAUGGGAAAGGACGCUGCGUACGCCGGGGACGGGGAGAUUAUUGGGGCCUGGAAUCCGGAUCCAUCCGCAGCGGCCUGACGCAUGCCUGCCGUGACCGGUAAAAUCCGCAUGCAGAGACCGGCCGGCGCCGCGGUCACGGACGGACCCGUGGCGGUAGUAGUAGUAGUACGUCCAAACACCCAGCCAGCAGCCACUCCGGCCGGCCAGCAGCGCUGCGCUCGGACGGGACGGGACGGGACGCGCAAGCGGCCAGGCGACAUGGGGUGGCCUGGCCGACGACGACGCGCCGGCGCAAGCAGCUAGGCGCCACCAAAUCCGGCGGGGCCGGCACCGGGCGCGGUCAUGUCCCGCGACGCGCGGCUCCCGCUGCGAGACACGCACCGGGUUCCCCCUCCUCCGGCCUCCCCUUCCCUGGCGUGCCGUGCCCGCGGAGAGACCGGACCGGGGGACCCCGGCCAGCAGCCGCCCGGCCCAGCGAGCCCCUGCCGGUGCCGCGGCAUGUGUUCCGCAUGCGCAUGCGGUGAUCGCUGAACAUCGCUGGGGCGCGGCUGGCUUUUGCAUCCGUCCUUGUCGUCGCGCCUGGCGGCUAGUGACCUCGGACAUCCGAUCGAGAUCGGGGGCCGGGCGCUCGGCAUCGCAAGGCACGGCCGGGUGGCGCCCGCCGUCCCGGUGUCCUUCCAUAUUAUUAUUCUCCCCGAUCGCGGCCGGACGGAGGACGUGCAGUUUUCGGUAGGUUGACCGUGUGUUACGUUGCUCUCGAGAGUACUGACGACGACCAUCGCGCGCGUGACCUGAACGCGUGGAAAUGAAGCGUCCAAGCAAGCAGUCGUCGCCGUGACAGAUUGUUCGCCGGACUUUCCGAGGCUCUGAUCGGCAUGCAGCUUGCGGGCGCGUCAGCGGUCGACGAUCGACCCACCAGGCAGGAAAUAUAAGUUUCAGGAGGAAAACGAGCAGAAAGGUGACGAAGAAAACGCGCCGAUCGAUUCGGUUUCGAGUUAUUUGACCUGCCGCCGUAGCGGACCCGGCCGGCCGACCCGGCCAGCGACCAGCCUCUAAUUCCAAUGGAUGACGCUAGUAAUAUAGUACACGUAUACGUACGUACGUCGUUAGUCUUUUUGUUCGUUGCCGAGGCUGUUGAUUUUUGUACCUGAUCGCGAUGCUGUAGACCGAGUUUUCUUCACGAGUCGUCGAUGGUGAGUGCGACGGGUAACAUCUCCUGCGUUUUCUGUUGCCGAACAAGUCAAUACGCCAAGAAAUUUUUGUCGUGCGACUUCCAACAAGCUAGGCUAUGACUAUUUCCGAAAAAUUUGCUAGGUACAGUAGCUCACAUUCUGCGACUGACAUGUGAUUCUGAGUUGCACCAAACAAACUUUAGACGCUAUAUUAUAUUUGUUGGUGCAUGCAUGGAAAUAGAAACCAGCAUGCAUGGUUUCAGAAUCAUCCGGCAUGAUACUGCUAUAUUUCUGAAAAUCUGAAAAUAACUGUGUCUAAGAAAGACAAACGAUUGUGAUGAAAAGAAAACGUACUGAUUACUACUGACAAUAUAAGCUUGUACCGGAUCUUGUAAAAAUAAUGAUGGUUCUAGCCUGCUGCUAGAGCUCGUGGAACAGCUAUAGGUAAAACGUGUUACUAGGAGAUGGACGACGUUAAAUCUCCAAGCUACUAUUACAUCCAGAUCUCUGCUCAACCACACAGUUCGCUACGACGUAGAAUGCAGAAUUUACCCACAAGUAUAUAGGUUGCUAAAAGACGGACGGUCCCAAGACAGACAUCGGCUGCCGUUAUCUGCAUGCCUGCCGCCAGCCACCAAGACUGACCGGCAAUGGAGUAGUACUACGUACUGUACUAGUACUGAAGCUAACGCGAGUUGGUAAAGUUUAAUUUAUAUCGCAUCGAGUAUUUAGAUAUAUACAUAAAAUACUAAAUAUAAAUUAUUUAUAAAAUUUAAAAUACAGCUACAGACUAAUUUACGAGAUAAAUUUUUUAAACCUAAUUAGUUUAUAUUUAGACAAUAAUUAUCAACGAAAAUAUUUUAAUACAUAUUAAAUUUUAACACCGCGAACCAAACAACCAAACACUCCCUAAGCAGCAGUGUAAAUCACUGGUCCAUUCCGUUCGAUCCGGGCAUCAAUAAUGAUUGACCGGACAGAGGGGAGCACUGUGCCCAGCCGGCCCACUGCCAUCGAAGAAGCCCGCUGCAGUGCUGUCUCAGUCUCACUCAGCAACGCGGCGGCUUGAUUUGCAGCACGCGCUGGCCUUCCCUGACCAAAUUUUACCAUAGCCUAGUUCACAUCAAAAAUCAAAAAGUUUUCAAGAUUUCGCGUCACAUCGAAUCUUGCGGCACAUGCAUGACAUAUUAAAUAUAUAUAAAAACAAAAACUAAUUACACAGUUUAUCUAAAAAUCACGAGACGAAUCUUUUGAUUCUAAUUAGUUCAUGAUUGGACAAUAUUUACCACAAACAAACGAAAGUGCUACAGUAGCGAAAUCCAAAAACUUUUCGUAUGUAAACAAGGCCCAUGUGAGGAAGAGCGCUGGCCUUUCCUUGGCAAUGGGCAAUGCACUUUGUGAUACUGUGAUGUGCACAAGAAAGGGAAGACAUCGGAUGACUAUCAGAUUAACUGCAACUAAUAAUGUUAAUUUUAAGUAGUAACUUGCAAUGCAUACAGCCAUCAAAUUAACAUGCAGCAGGGACCUCCUCUAGAGGCUAUUAUCCUAUCCAAUAGUUUUACCACUAGCUUAGCUAUUUUUUGGGAGGUUAGGAAAAAAAGUGUUAUAUAUAUCCAUGGACGAGAUAUGAUUGGCCUUAUGGCCACUCCUUUUCUCUUAAUGAAAAACGAGUCUAUAUACCCGAUCGCAAAAAAAAAAAGAUAUGAUGGGCAAAAGUUUCAUAGUCACAUAUGUACUUCAACUGUUAUAUAUAGUCCUAGAGGCAUGUGGCACAGUAGGAAUAGGACAUGUUCUUUUGUAAGCUUCCUAAAUGUAGGAUUUAAUGCUGCAACUCUCUGCAACAGUGCUUCCUAUCCAUGUGACUCAAUUCUGAAAUAAUGCGUUGUCAAGACCAAUGUAUUUCAGCAAAUCUUAGGUGCUCUCUCGACAUAGUGAUCUGAAAAGGUUCAUUUCAAUCCCUACGCUGGUAGACACCUCAUUAUCCCUUGUUUUCAAAGUACAAACAAUCUUUUUUGUGGCUAAAACACGACCAGACCCCCAAGCCCCAACCCACCCACCAGAUCAAGCAAAAGCUUGGCCAACUGGAGUUGAUAAGACUUAGGUACAAGGACUAAGAUUGACCCUUCAUUCAAAGGAAAACAUGACACACAACUUCUCACAGGAAAAAAAAGAAGCAUGGCAGGUAGGAAGCUAGAGAUCCCUUUUGGUGCCUUCAAGCAGCUAUUUCCAACGUGUGUGGUUCUCUCUUUUGAUUCUGAUGUGUCAAGCAAUGCCUACUUUCACCACCCUAGAAUUGUGCGCUGAGGAAACAUCUCAUACGUCUAGUUUGCCAGUCACAGUUGCAAUCCUAAAGCUUGGGUUUACAUUAUUGAAACAUGGCACAUAUUUAUAUAUGCAAAGCUGAACAAUGUAGUGUAUAGUACAUGUGUGACUCUCAUGAAAGAAAUAAAUGUUCAGAAUGAUAAGAUAUAUUGCAUGACAAACCAACUAGUGCAUAACUCUGAAAACAAGGAUGAUGAAUGAAAAAACAAUCCCCUCUAUAAUUAUUGUGAAAUAACUCGCAUACCAUACCACCAUGGAUUGAACUAUGCUAUGAAUGAAGAUGAGAACAAACUUGUACCAACAACUGUCCUCGCUACUCCAAGCGGACGCCCCAUUCCCUUCUGCCUCUAGAUCAUGUGGCAGUCCCAUGACUCUGACGUGAAACUAGCGAGACGUAGCAUAUCAUCAUGUGUAAUUAAGGGCCGAGUUGGUAUGAGUUCUGAAUUCUGAACUCCAAUACACGCAAUCAUCUGCGAAAGAAACUCAUGGUCCAGUCAUGAGGAUGAAUUAAGGAGAUGCAUUGGGAAUGAUAAUCAUGAGAUAUUUGUUGCGGGAGAGGCCGCAUGCUUCGUCAUGGCUAAUAACCACACCAAAAUAAGGACAACUUGGUACGACUAACUGAUCUACUCUCUAUUAAAAAGAACUGACAAACUAAGGCAUUAAUAGCCCUGCUCGAUCCAAGGACAAGUAUUUAUCUUGACCAUUCUUACUUUAUGUUAUCAUCAGCACAUGAUAGAAAGUGCACAAAAAAUAGUUGUAGGCAUGACAUGUCCUGACAUAGUGACACUAAGUACAACCAAAAGGGCUGGAAAGAGCUGGCAUGGGGUUACCGACAAAAUGGUGGUUGACCAUGGUUUAACUUAUUUGCUAAAUUGCAGUAUCAAAAUCACCAUGCCGAUGCUUGUUGUACUAUAUAAAUACAGUAAUACGUCACAUGCCCAAAUAGCUAGUACAACACAACUUAAUUGAUAACAUGACUCAUACUUCAGUUGAGAAUUUGUUUACUGGUACUGAUUCCCUAGCCUAUAUAUGGGGUAGCUUAGCCUAGAUUCUUGCUUAUCUUUCACCAAGGAACACAUGCUGCGUUGACAAGAAAUUAAUCACAAGGACGACAUUGUACAUUUAUAUAUACUCUGAGGCUAAACACAAAGAUCUAUAUAUGCGCCUAUGAGGCUAUGAGAGUAUGAGUUGGAUGAAUCAUUCAAUGAUUUAAUGGUAUCACAAGAACAUGGAGAGGUAUCAAACCUUUGCUUACCUGCUUGCUAAAUUAACGUCUCAAUUGUUAUUAGGAAACCAUCGCCAUCAGUAAAUUGUCAUCAAAAUAUUUUGGAGUACUAGAGCUGGUUGAGCAGUUAGUACGUGAUGAUACACGUGAUCUGCAUUACCAUCGCACAUCCACAGAAUCUGGUUCAUUGCUGUGACACACGAGCUGAUGACCUUAACUGAAACCUGAAAGCCAGAGCUCCGUUAUUGCAUUGCUAAAGGAGCAUUCCUCCCUUGUGUGUCAGCACCAUAGCCCCAGCACAACCAUGGAAAUCUGCAGCUUCUAAAGAAGUGUUAAUAGUCGUAGAGCUUCACAGAAAGUCAAGAACAUCAUAACAAAGAGUAGCAGCUCUGGUAGCACAAUCAUCAUGCAUGUAACAUAAUCAACACUGCUCCGGAAGCAAUCAGCUGAUCGGAUUCACAAAGAAUCAGCCAGUCAGAUGACAAACGCCACGGCUUACAACGAUCAUCAUUUCGUUCCAAUCAAGUGUGUAAUCAUAACAGCAGCAGGCAGCAGCCUCUUGAGUGUUGAUCCCUAUCUUGAUGCCCAUCAUCACAUGCCGGCCGGGCACAUGGCAAGAUAGGGACGAGGGGGGUUCGUCAGAAACAUCAGUUGCUCCAAAUGGGCCGGUGAAGUGGAACUUAUCAUGGAUGUAGCUAGCUAGUAACGAAAGCUAGAAACAGUACUGCAGGUCCACACUCCACAGCAGCACCUCGUAAGUUUCUUUGUUGCCUUGUGCCGUACAUACCUCGCCACUGAUCCAUCGGUAAAAGCAUGUGUCCCCAUGAAUGCAGUUGGCUGCUUGUGUUAAUUCCAGCAGCUGAAGUAAGCAAGCAACCCAACCCCAAACGCCGUGACGUCCGAGAAAUUUACAUGUAGAUAUAGGCCUGCUGCGCAUAGGAUGGUGGACUACUGGACUCAUCAGUAAAGCCAUAUGCGCCAAUGGUUAACUGUAAGUCUGUAAUGGUUAGAGUACAAGUAGAUCGAGAGGUUAAUCUUUCGAACAAUAUGAACUUGGUGCAGAGACUGAGGCUGGGGAAUUUACGUUGAGACGACGAAACCCUUCCUUGGACAGAUGUUGCAGUGCUGGCUCCUCACAAACGGCCAGCGUUGCCAGCCACAUUCCUGCAGUACUGACGGAGUGUACUCUGCAUGUGCAGUGCAGUGCAGAGCAGCAGAAGCCAGAAGGAUAUUGGCGCUGCUGCCAUUCUGUUCUGCCAUGGCUGGCAUCAAUGCUUGUUGCUGGGCACAACAACAAAGCCUUUUGGUGGUUCAGUAGUGGUAGUGCCCAGAGCAUCAGCAGCCAUCCCAGGCCCAUAGCGCACUGCAAACUGCAAAUGCGGCACGGGUCAGCACUGAGGAAGGAGUGAGUUCGUUAGGGUGGUGGCAGCACUGCGGGUCUGCACUCUGCAGCGACGACAUACCGAUCAUUAUGGCUGACGACGUUGUUUGUCGUCGGCGCGGCAGCGGAGGGGCAGAUGGGCACCACCGGGAACCGGGACCGGGACCGGAGCGGCAGCCUGGUCCCCGACCCCGCGCCGCUGUCGCCGGAUCCCGCGCCGGCGUGGCCCCCCCUGCUUGCUUCUCUGAAUCUGCUGCUGGAGAAUGGGGAUAUAAUAGUACUUGUCAGCUUGUAGAAUUGGCUUGGCUUGUUCUUGUUCAUCUCACAUGCAGGCUGCCGACUGCAGAGCCUUACCGGAACAGGCCCUUCCACUUGGCUCGUUUACUGGCCUUGGCUUGCAAGGGCGAUGCCCAAGGCUCUGCUGCAAUCAAAUGCGUACAUGAUCGAAAGCGGAAACACCAUCAGAUGAUCAUCACUUGAUGAAAGAAAAGAAGAAUCAAGUAGUAGGGUGAUUUCAUCAGGUUGAGUACAGACAACAGGAUGGAUGACGUUGCAGCUAGAAGCAUCAUACUUCCGUGUGAUCUUCUAAUGCUUGAUUGAACACAGCAAUUUCAGGUCUUCUAAAGCUUUUUGGUACUCAAGGUCUAGUGGGUUUAGAUCCGGUUCAGCUACGUGGGCCCAUUAGCUGUAGGCUUGUAGCUCAGGCCUACGAAGUUUGUACCCAUUCAGACUUCAAAAACUGGUAUAUACUGAAAUCUCAAUGAUUCACUAUUACAAAGACACAGAUCUGACGGCAAUCUCGCUGUCACUACUUUACAUUAUGGGAAAUGUUCUCUGUCACAGGCGCAAAACUGUUUGCUUGAGCUUAACAGCCGAAUCUGCAAGUCAUUCAGCGGUGUUUUUCUCUCAUAACAAAUCAGCCAACAGUACUUUCUGUCAUAACUUAUCAGCCAAGAGUACUUUCUGUCAUGACUUAUCAGCCAAAUAAACAACGAGCAGAAUUUCUAAGACCAAUAACAAGGUACAUUGUUAUUAGAAAAAUAACAAGGUACAUGAAUUUCCAAACACACGAACAGCAUUAAGUUCAAUGGGAAGUAAAGAGAUCGAAGGUACAUCGUCCUACACCAUGGAGAAAUUUUUCAAUUGUACUUGACUAUAAAAUAAGCUUCUCGCUUGCUCAUCAGAACCACAAGGUCCUAGCCACUUCUGAAAAUAUGUGAUUGUAUGUCUAUCCAUUGUAUUUCAAUCAUGUUCCUUCAACUGCACAACAAUCAAACUUAAGUGACAUGGUACACCAAGUAAAAAAAUUGAAGGGCAGCUGGCUUUAGAACAAAAGUAAGGUGGCCAAAUAGUUGUCUAGCAAAAUAAGUCUCAUAUAGUCUUGCUGAUCUGACUGGCGCAUAUCAUAUUUCAUGAAGAACACCAGCUACAAUAUCUGGAUUACAAAACACUACUAGAACAGAUAAAAAGGUAUGCAUCAUGACGACUAGCAAAUUACUGUACAGACAUACCUGCAAGUUUUCCUUGAUGCAAGGCCAGACCAUGUAAUCCCAACAUUUUGUCUGUACAUGGAAAUCGGCUGCAAGUCCUGAACUAGGUCACAUUUGUAUGCUUUUAUUACAAAAUUCCUAGUAAAAGAGCCUUCCCUACUUCCACAUAUGCCAGCAUACCAGGUAACAUACUGCAUUGAAAAUGAAACGAUUUCUCCAAAAAGAAAACAUCAGACAGGGGAGGGCAUGCACUAAAUCGUUUCACACCAUUUCACCUCAAUCGUUUCUUUUAACCUAAUAAUAACUUCCGAUUAUAGAAUUGCAGUGUACAUCAACCUACCCAGGAGCCAAAAUGAACUUGCGCUGAUUGCACACUGAAAGCUCAUAAAGCCAAAAAUUGUUCAUGAUUGUCCUUUGUAAUAACCAUGUGAUUAUUAAAAUCUUAUAAACAAACAAAUUAAAUUACAUAUCCCAGGCUGAAUAUCUGUCUGCAAUGGGGAGAUAAUGGAAAGCAACGAUUUAGCACAUGAGAAUCUGGACCAAUUUCUAAUUACACGUAUUAACUUGCGCACUGUAAAGCAUUUUCCCCAGUUGCAUAAGAUUCAAUCUAUGCAUGGAGUACUCUAUUUAAGCAUAGGUAUGACAGUGAACACCAAACAGUAUUUUUUUUAAAAAAAAAAGCAAAUAAGCAGUAAACAGUUCUUAAAAGGCCCAAGUGUUCAAACAUGUAAAAGCAAAACGUGGAACACAGUCAUUGUGGAUGUGGUCACUUACAAAGAUCUUCAAAUAUAUUUCAAGAACAUCUGGGAUAUUAUUAUUCCAUUAUCUAACAAAGACUUAAAAUGUAUGUUGUAUGAUGAUAGGCCUUCAUGGAACAGCACCCUUGUCUUGAUGCAAGACUCUUAGGUGAACACCCAUAAGCACAAGAUAGCUGGUUGAGGUAUUAAGGGGCUGGCUGCUUGGUUGCUCAUCCAUCUCCCCUUGCUUAGCUCACACAAGCCACGAGGAUCUUGCCCGUUCAGGCAAGCCAAAUUGGCUCACUCACAGUAGCAAGGAAAAUCUUAACAGUGCAUAAUCAAUAUGUCCUUGCCGGACAACCAAUUAAGCUGUGUGCUCCGAAUCCUUGCUUGGCGAGGCUACACAGUAGCCAGCAAAGGUACCAAACGGCCCCAGUUCUAGUCCCUACUCCAUAUUUACCCAUAUAACUUUUUAGUCAAAACAAUCUGCAGUCCGCAACAUAUAUGUCUUGAAUAUUUCUGAACUUCAACACAACGAAUCUAUGAAGUCUAUGCAAUCUGCAGUCGAUAACAUAUAUCUUGAAUAUUUUUUAACUUCAACACAAUGAAUCUUUAAAGUCUAUUCAAUUGACCUAUAAUUCCCUACCUAAACAACUGUUGUUUUUGUGCUGAAGGUAGGUACCAAUUGCAAUUUAACUUACUGAUAUUUUGAGAGCUGUUUACCAUAAAUCCAUAUAAUAAUACAAAAAUACAGCUAAGAUUGUUGGUUGCUUUAUUACAUGGAAAAAUGUGUAUCAGUGACCAAUAUAUAUUUUAGUUUACCUUGUCACUAUCAUUCAAAUCUCCCCCCUCAAAAAAAGGAUUUAAAUAAAACCAAGAGUUCCUCCUCAAAAAAGGAUUUAAACAAAACCAAGAGUUCCAGUAGCACUUACCAAAGAGGAAAUAUGCUUGUUCUGUGAAAAAUCACACAACAAACAGAUCACCUUUUUGUCUCUGGAUCAUAAACCAAUCCAAUUUGACCCUUUUAUCCAGCAACCAGUACUAAUCUGGAACCACAGUCUUGGCCCUGCUUGACCUUAAUUAGGAACAAAAAGAUCAAAAUAAAUAUUUGAUACAAGUUUGAGGUGAGCACAUACAAGUAGCCACACGGGGCAGCCCUUUUGUGUUAUUAUACUUAUAUAAUUUAUAAGUAAAUCAAACUGAGUGCUCCUUAGGCCUUCGUUUAUUUGCGAGCAUAAGGUAUGACAGCUCACAUGGAAACUACUAUCUAUUAAUGUUGCAAUGAAGUAUCAUGGCAACUUAUAAAAGCAACGCACAAGAGAAUCCUAUCCUAGAAGAAAAAAUAUAAUGAUCCUAAAAGCAAAAGGAUAUUGAAAAUAAAUUUAGUACCAAUGGAAGUUCAAUGGAAGUGUUGCCACAUCUAUCGCACUGCAAAACAUGUGGCAGACUCCUCCAUCUACAAGAACCUAUGGAAGGAUGCUUUAAAAGCCUCCAACCUUGGCCCUGGAAAGUUCAUGAGAAGUAUCAGAUUUCCUUUCCCCAAACUUUUGCUGUUGCAGAAUUGAACAAUACUAAAGUCGAAGUGCCCAUGUACAACAGCUGCUACUAAAUUAACAGCAAAAAAAGCAUUACAAAUUAGUUAGCCCACUAGGCAACACAUGUCAAGAGAUACAGAUAUUUCACAAUCCAUACUCACAAUUUUUCACCACCUUUCGAGACAAGUAUAGCAUGACUAUAAUAAAAGCAUUUACACUACAAAGACAAUCAUGUGCAAAACAAAACUCCCUCAAGGAUAUUCGUACUUAUAUUAUAUCUUGAGAAUUGAGCUUGUACAUGCUUUGAUCAAAACAUUGCAAGUUCAGUCAUCAAUAAUCACAAACACAAUCAAGGAGACAAGGACUAUUGGUAGAGUAGUACAGUGUUAAACAUCAAAACAAGCUAAUGCAAAGAUAAAAAACAGAGGUGUUUCAGACUUUCAGUAUGAAAAACAUUAAUACUUCGAGAGACUGUCGCAAAAUUUCAGGAAUCUUGAGAUAUCUAUAGUACAAAAAUUUCCAAUCGACUCUUUUCACAAGUAAAUUCUACACAUGAAGUACACCAACACCUCAACCCUUAAUGAGAUUUCCCAACUUACAAUAAUAUGAAAGAUAUGAAAUGUCAACAGGAAAGUAACAACAAAAGCUAUCUGGAAGUAACAGCAUCGGUAACCAAACUCCUUAAUUCAGCUAGAUGUUCAUCAGUUGAGAUGUUCAGUGUUAACCUUAGGUUAGUCAACAAAGCCUCUUGCUCCCAGCUAAUUGACCCACAAGCAUACAAGGCUAGCAUUGUUGCACGAUAAGCAUGUAAUUCCAGUAAAUGGGUUUCUUCCCUCAAUCCAACAUUAUUAUGUUCUGAUGUUUCUCUUUCAGAUGUAGAAGCUUCAUCUUCAUCAGUUCUACUACAGGUAUCUCCACUUUGGCAGACCAAAUUAUAAUACUGUGAUCUAUGGGGGGUACUGUUAGGACUAGAACUACCAACAGAAGAUGAGAUACUCUCUGUGUCACUAAAUUCUUCAGUUGUUCUAGUAUGCCCUUUAUGACUAGCAUGCAUGUAUUUCCCGCCCAGCAUAAAGCAUGGGGAAUCGACAGCAUCUACCUUUUCAGCCAAAGGGAAAAAACCUCUAUCAGCCAGCUUUGAGUGCCUUCCAUCUCUAUUUGGUGUCCGCAAUCUCUUAGUAAUUUCACUGCAUUGAGGAUGUGUUGAUAUAGCAGACGAUUUUCUCUUCAUGCCUCUAGAUGUAUCACCCUCAAAAGCAUUCUGGUUCUCAAGUUGAAUAUGCCUGUCCUUUCUCAAGUUGCAGUCUAAAUUUCCGUCUUUUGAUCGACCUCCGAAUGCACCACCGUUCAAGCAUCUUGCGGAAUACUGAAAAUGAUUGGAAGACAAGUCUCAUUAGGAUCUAGGGCAUUCCAUUAAUACUUGAUGAAACAAAAUCUAACUGCUCAUGGGUGAACAUCAAAGAACCACAAAAUUAUGGUAUUAGAUUUUAUUGAAAAUGCAACAGUUAGACCAUUACUGCUUGAUUGAGCUAAUGUAUAUAAGUAAAAACAUCAUUCUAUUGAUCACCUAAGUCUAAUCAAAUUUGAGAAUUGAAGGAACAAAGCAUUACCUUCUGAGUCACAACCCAUCUGUCAUCUAGCCAAAGCUUCCUCAAUCGAAGAUCCGAUGAAUGUGCACUCAACUCCAGCGAGGACCCAAGGAGCCUGACCAGAUAUUGAUUCUUUCCGAGCACUCUCACCACCUCAGCAACCUUCCACGAGUAGCUGUCAAAGGCCUCAAGAAUACUACCCAAACUCCAGCGUACAGAAUCAUCCGCAGGAGGGCGAGGUCUCAUCAACCUUCUUGGCACCCUUUCAACAGCCACGCUAGAGUCAACGGGACUUUCAUCAUAUCUCACCAGAUAGGUGUGUCCGUUGCCGGAGAUGAUCUCACCAGGCCUCCACGAACCAAAUGGCACCUCUGCCUCCUGCAAUACCUCCACCUCGCUCCCCUUGAAGAAUCUCAUCAGAUCGUUUUGCUUCGAGAACUCUGUCGCAAACAAGAAAUAAAAGACAUUGUCAAUAGCCGAACAACUAAAUUAACGUGCAUCAAAACACAGCGAAUAAAUCAGACAAACAGGAGUCAAAAUACGAAGAUUUCCAACUUCUACAGGAGCACCCAAAAGAUUUUUUUGAAUGAAAGACAUCGCAUCCUUGACUACAACCGAGAAAGAAAUAGCAUCCUUGACUACCACCGAGAGCUGACAACAGAAUAUAACAGAUUAACGAGCGAAGGAGCCAUUGCAGCACAGGAACAUCAGCGCGUUGAUCCGUCACAAGAACAGAAGAACAAAAUCGAAGCGAAUCGCUUGGGGCUGUUGCAACAACAACAUGGCCUCGCACAUCCACCAGGAGCGGGGGCUUUGUAUAUGCAACGGAUUAAUCCCGAUUCGUUCCUCUGUCCAGAACUUUCGAUCUGAUUGUGAUCAUACUAGUAAGUAGAGAUCGAUCUACCGAACAAAUAAGUAUCCGAAAAAAAAAUGAUAAGCGAAGUUAGGAUCCUUACCAACAACAAACGGAAAGGCAAAUACAAUGCCAAUCGACUCGCCGGCGUGGGGGAGCGCGACUGGCUACCAGCCGUUCUUCGGCGGAACCACCGGAGCCCGACGACGGCUGCCGUUCUUCUUCAGACGAGGAGGCUGGCGGCGGGUUUCAGCGCGGCCGGGGCCAAGCGCGGGCGAUUCGACGAUUUGCCGCCGGAGAGAGAGAGAGGAGAGGAGCCCGCGAUGAUCCGCCAAGGCGCCAACGCAAGGAAUCGCUACCUACACGGGCACGGCGAGGAGGAUUUGACGAGCGGAGGAAUCAGGGGCCGAUUUCAAGAGCCGGAAAUAAGCAAAUUUUCAGUCGGUUCGUUUAUAUAUAUAUAUAUAUUAAAUAAAAAUCGAUUAAUUCGAGCUUGUGCGGCCGAAGCGGUUUAUAUACAGGGGGGGUCGGUCAGGGGGGGAGGGAUGGUGGUGGGCCCGCGUCGCGUUCCGAGUUCGAGGCGACAAGUGCCAGUCUCAUCACGGCUAUUGGGCGGUUUGGAUCGAAACGGAGCUUUGGGCCUCGGCCAGCCCAUCGCUUGUCGACCGUCUGUUUGGCGUUUGACGGCUGCGAUCCCUGGAUGGGUUUCUUGGUGGUUAUCUUGGGUCGUGUUUAGUUAAAAAAAAUUACAAAACCAGCGCUGUAGCAUUUUCGUUUGGUAAAUAUUGUUCAAUCAUGGAUUAACUAGGCUUAAAACAAAUUACAAGUAACUAUACAAUUAGUUAUUUUUUAAUUUAUAUUUAAUGUUUCGUACAUGUACUGCAAGAUUCGAUGUGUUGAAAAUUGUAAAAAAUUUUGCAAUUUUUUUGAACUAAACGAGGCCUUAGUUCAUGAGUUUUGUCAGGUGUGUGUGUUUUCCCCCUUGUCGAAAUUCAGUUAUUCACGUUUAACCUAGUUGCCCAAUUGUUUUUUUUCCCGGAGCAUGAUUUUAACCUAGCUAAGGAUGAUUGGUCCUAAAACUCAUAACCGAUUUUUGGGUGGCAAUGUGGUGAUUUAGUUGAGCGUGUGAUCUAUGAUCUUUUGCCAUAUUAAAAAAAGCUCUCUUCAUCAACUUCUAUAGCUAAGGACAAUGAUGAAAAUCGCAUGAGUAUCAUUGGCAAUGAUUGUUAUAUUCUCCUCGUUUCAAAAUUUAGCUUCCUAAUGACUUUGACCAGGAUUAUAAAAAUUAUUUCAUAUCUAUCAUAUAUCAAAUAAAUGUACAAAGAAUUAUUUCAUGAUAGAUUUGUAUGAUGUAGUAGAUGUUUAUAAAUUUUUUAGAAACUUUGUCACAGUUAGAGAAUGUUCGUGCACUUGAGGACAAAACCAAAUCGACCUAUAUAUAUUUCUUAAAAAAAUUGAGGGAGUACUUUUGAAUUAUCUACCAUGCUUCUUGUUACAUUUGUUGAUAGUCAAAGUCAUUGAGUUUUCCGUCAUUUAGAAACUCUUCAUUGAGUUAGGUUCCAUGUGAUGGAACAUAAUUAUCUAUCUCAACAUAAAUGGUGUUAGUAUCAUGCGACGUGUCCAUAGAGAUAAGACAUGUGUACUCCUUCCGUCCCAUAUUAUCUGUCGUCGGGGCGACAGUAGCGUGUCCCAAAAUAUUUGUUGUUGCCACCCAUUAGGCUGUAGCUGUGCCUCUGUACCGCACCAGGGAACCGACGAAUGCAUUCUUAUCUGUAUUGCAUGUUUAACUGUGAAAAGGUGAUGUGAGUGCUAAUUUGUUUAUUGUAAGAAAAAUGAUAUAGUGAGUAGCAUUGAUGGCAUGUCCAUCCAAUUGCACAGUGUAUUUAGGGGUGUCACGGUCUUUUGCCUUUCUCAUUGAUAACUAGGUUGAGCCUUCAACGACAAAUAAAAAGGGACAGCGGGAGUAUAUAUGUAUUUUUAGUACUUUUGUCUUUUUUUAUAAAAAACUAAAGAUAUUUAAAAAUGUAAAAAAAUCAAAUAGUUAGUUAAUUAGCAUAUGAUAUUUUAGGGACAGAACAUUCGGUGCAAACCAUCCAUUUAGUGCGGUUGUGAAAAAUUCUUAAAACACACAAUACCUUAAAGUUUUCAAAACUUUGAAAUAUAAACGCACAUGAAAUUCAUCAUUUUCUCAUUUUCAUAUGACGAUUAAGAAAAUGGUUUUGCAUUGUGUAUGUGCAUCAUUUCCGGGAAAAAAAGAACUUCUAAUGCCCAACUCAAGGGAGUUUACAGUUUACACGUGUUUUAAAGAAGACACUUAUCUUACCAGAGUACUAUCUUGCAUUCACAGUUUACAACUAGUAUUUCUCCUCCUCUAGUUUUCGUGGGCAUCAAGCAGCUCUAGCAAGUUGUCAUCUGCCCCAAAGCCCAAGCCAUACUCUCUCUCUUUUUUUUUCAUCCGGCGGGCAGCGCUAAUGGCUUGGCGGUCACGUUUUUGCCGCUGCCGUAGGUAAGCGUAACCCACCCUCCUCCGGCCUUUUCUCUCAAAUUGCCUUGUUUUAGUUCCGAAAUUUUUUUGGUUUUCGGAACUGUAGCACUUUUAUUUUUAUUUGACAAACAUUGUUCAAUCUUGGAGUAACUAGGCUUAAAAGAUUUAUCUCGCGAUUUACAGGUAAAUUGUGUAAUUAGUUUUUUAUUUUCGUCUAUAUUUAGUGCUCCAUACAUGUGCCGUAAGAUUAGAUUCGAUGUGACGGGAAAUCUUAAUUUUUUUUUAAAUUUUGGGUGAACUAAACAAGGCCUUAGCUGCUGCUCGCUUUGCUUGUUUACCUGGCUUUCAUAUUCCUUGCGUGCCGGAAAGAUGACCCAACAAAAGCAACGCAAGAACACAAUCUAACACAAAUCAGCACAUAAGGGACAACCUCUUUUCAUUACUAACAAAACAGUAUCGCUUAAAAAAGGGAUGCUCAAUUAAUUAAUAAUUAACAAUUAUAUUAUUCAAUAACAUUAUUUGUGGCCGUAGUGUAGUAGCUUUCAGGUCAUGGUUUUGGUUGGGUGCAGCGAGUGGCUGCCAUUGGCCGCACCGCGCAUCGCGUUUCUUUGGAGGCGGUUGUCCAUGAGAUUUAUCAUGAGGAGACACACCUCCUCCCAUUGCGAUUUGCAUUGCAUCGCUGAAAAUGAGGCGUGAAAAUCCGCCAGGGAUCGCAUGGGUCCCGGCCUCACCAAGUCAGAAAUCUUGGUGGUCAUCACGUGUCCAGUCCAGGCGCGCGGAUUUCGCUUCACGCGUGCAACAAGCCAGGCUUAUCUUAUCCCAUCGGGUGGAUUAGUGGAUAUACCAAGCUUCGUUCCAUCGACAAUUUCGUAUGUCAUCUUGGACAAGGGACAAGGCCCCUCUUUUUUUUUUUUGGGGUGGGUGAGGCCUUGUUUACUUUCACCCAAAAUUUAAAACUUUUCAAGAUUUUCCGUUAUAUCGAAUCUACGCAUGAGUAUUAAAUAUAGACAAAAAUAAAAACUAAUUGCAUAGUUUAGUCAGAAUUUAUGAGACGAAUCUUUUGAAUGUAUUUAGUCCAUAGUUGGAUAUUAAUUACCACAAACAAACAAAAAAUGCUAUAGCGUCGCGAAAUUGGUCGCUGUUCAGCGUAUUUAUGUUAGGCCUUGUUUAGUUUUGAAACUUUUUGGUUUUCCGUACGGUAGCACUUUCGUUUUUAUUUGACAAUUAUUGUCUAAUCAUAGACUAACUGGACUCAAAAGAUUCAUCUCAUAAUUUACAUGUAAACUGUGCAAUUAGUUUUUAUUUUCGUCUAUAUUUAGUGUUUCAUGCAUUUACCGCAAGAUUCGAUAUGAGGACUUAAAAAGUUUUUGAUUUUGGGGUGAACUAAACAAGGCCUUAAUCCCGUCGCGCUCUGUCACUCUCUGUCAAACGCAGAGAAAUUCGACGAUUGUAACGUCUUGUGUCCAAAGACCGUCUUAAAAUUUGACGAUAUCACGCCGCUCCCUGUCAUUCUCUGUCAAAAUGCAAGAGUACUACCGCACAACCAAAACGGCUGCAACCUCAGCUCAAGAAAUACCAUUUCAAGAUACUUCUUUUUCAUUCUGAUUAGAAAUGGAUGCCGUUUCAAAGCGGGCGUACUGGUUUUCGAACAGACGCGGUUUUACGUUUUGGAUAAUUUGGAAGCAUCACUUCCCACCAAAUUACCCUGUUAAUUAACUGUCGGUUGCUAUAUGGAAUACGUACAACUCGUGUCAAUCAAAAGGUUAAAUAACUUUUUUUAGAUAAGAAUCAAAAGGUUAAAUAUGUGCGAUAUAAAAGUACACAUCACAAAUAGUUUAGACUUAGGAAUUAGGAGGCAGAAUAUUAUCGCUAAUUCGUUUAUAUUUAGAGGGUGUUUGGAACUGCUCCACAAACUCUACUCCAUGAACUCCACCGUGGAGCAGCUCCACAAAAAACUGGAGUUUGUGAAGUAUCUUUUUAGGUGCUCUCACAACUUUACCCUUUUUCCUCGAACUGAGUGCGUGGAGCUGAAUCCGUUUAGCUAAAAAACGUGGAGCAGAAACAUGGAGCCAAACACACCCCUUAGAUGCGUAGAUCCGAUGUAAUUCAGUUCCACCUCUGAGCUAGCUCUGCAAAGCACAAGCUGGUGGAUUACAAAUACAGAGGUGCUUCUUUGAGGCAGAUACAAGCAAGCCAACGGCGAUUUGGUUGCGCUACCAAUCCUUCUCACGGGUCCAUGAACCCCAUUAGUUGCAGCCAUUUGGCUUGAUAAAAAAUAAAAAAUAGUCUUGUUCUUUAACAAUGAUUGGCCUCUGCUGGGUUUAGGUCCAAGCUCCGCCACUUUAUGAGACACUGACAUUCACAUGUAUACUUGUAUAGAAUGUCCAAAGAACAAACCACAACAUGUACAGAAAGAAUAUUAGAACAUGUACUGUAUGCAUAGUGUUGGGAAAGAAUACAUGUCAUUUGUAUACAAUAUGUAACACUGAGCCAAAUCAGCCCAACUCAGUAUGGCCUUAAAACUUUAAAAGAAUGUAUCCAAAAACCUGCUAGUAGAUGAACUGCUUUCUGUGCUAAUGCCCACCUAUGUAUUGCCUGAUAUGUCUAGCCUAACCUUUUUUUGUUUGUUUGUUUUCUUUCUCUUCUUUUUUUUUUGUUGAACACAUAACUCUUCAGUUGUAGUAGUAUAACAGAACCAGACUCAACCUGCCAGGUUCACUCCCGAUCCCCACUGAUUCUCAAUCUGUAUAUAUACAGCAAAAUUACUAACGUCAGAAAGUAUUUCAGCAGCACAAAAGAACAUUUCUAUGCAGAACUGUAUGGCUAGUGGUGAGUGACAGUGUGACACCAUCAAAUGCACCGUGGAACUUGAAAGUUGAAAGACUAUAACUGUGAAGGAAAGUGUGUGAGUGUGGACUGAUCCAAAUCAAUGAUGGUUUUCUAAAUACAAAUGUGAUUUCAAAAGACACUUUGAGCAAUGUUUUCUCUUCUGCGUCGCUGACAAAAAAAACUUUGAGCAAUGCCAAUACAAUUGAUGCGCAUUUCAAAAGACACUUUGACUGGUAACAGAAACCUAAAUCAAACCAACGAUUUUCUAAAUCAGUUCAUGAGUUUGGGACAGGGUAGCAGUAACAUGAAAAUGUGCAAUCCACCUCCUCUUGUAAGCAUUACAACUCUGCAAGAAUGCAUGUUCGGUGCAGAUAUUGUGCAAGAAGCAAACAUGCAGAAUAGAGGAAAUGAUGCAAACCAAUGCAGAAGCAAACAUGCAGAAUAGAGUAUAAUUGAUAUAGGAAAAGAGAUUGGAGACUGGUUGCUGCAAACAGGACAGUGGCCUGCAUUUAACAAUGUCGACAAACCUGAAGAUGCCCAUCUAUCAUACGCUAGCCCAUGUUCUGAGGGCAGUGGUGCCCGAUACUUUCCCCCCUUGGUGACAGCUAGGAAUUAAGGUUAUGUAUGCCUUCACAUUUUUUAGUGUGACCAGGUCACAAAGCAGAAGGAACACUUUCAAAACUGUAAUUAGAUUAAUUACAGAUCAAAAAUAUUUUUCCUGUGCCUUCAGAACUUGCAAGACUGAAACAGACCAGGAAAUUCAGUGGGAGCUACAUUCUUCAACUUCAUCUUCUUUUAUUCUCUUAGAUUUCUCACGCCCUUUCUCAAUAAUUUCGCAUGGUUAGUAUUGCAGCAGGUAAGAUGAAACUGAGAUGUCUAGCUCAUCGGCCUCCAGCUGAAUAAUCUCACUUCAUAAAAACCUCCCCGGGCAGGACGGAGCUCAAAUCACGAGCUACCGCCCGCCCCUAGGCAAUCGCCAAUUCGCCAUCGGAGAAGGCUCGGGUAGAAAUUGAGGGAGAGGAGGAGUAACAUUCUAGGGCGAGGGGAGUCUGAACCUUACCGAGGUAAGUGUGGGAGGAGGCGGAGAGCCAGAGGAGGAGGGCGCAGACGAGAAGCACCACGGGGAUACAGUGCACGGCGCGUCCCAGCGCCCGCGUCCGCGCCGCCUCCCGCCGCCCCGCCGCCGACAGCGGGUCGUACGUCGGCAGCGCCGCCUCGCUCCCGCUGACGACGACGCCGCUGUCCGACACGCGCGCCCCGCUCGACGAUCGCCUCAUCCCCGCGCCCGGCGAGACGGACGGUGGCCUCGGCGAGGAGAGACGCGGCCGGCGGCGACCACCGAGGCUGUGCUGGACGGGUCGGGCGCCGAGGCGGGGGGGGAGGGGGGGGGGGGUGGACUCGAUCCGAGGCAAAGCGCACGAGGAACGUGCGGCGGUGGGUGGACGACGCCGCCGCCGCUUGCCGCCGACGGUGCGCUGGGCAAAGGGGUGGGUGGGGUGAGGGUGUCGUGGUUGGGGAAGGGGGGGACGCGCGCGCUUGGACGACGCGACGCGGUGCUUUUGGUGCCGCGUCAGCGUUUGGCAGGCGCGCAGCUUCGCGCUGGCUCGAGCUCGACUACGCUCGGGGUGGCCCCCAUCCUGGAAGCGGUCUUCUACUCCCUUCCGCGUCGCGGCCACGGACCGUGCUUCUCUUUGAAAAAAAAAAUUUUACACGUUCAUGAACAACAUUAACGUGUAUAUUUUUUCUAUUAAAACUUUUUUUCGAACAAAACUUCUCCUCAAACUUUAAAAUCAGAUGUCUUAUAGUUUAACUAAAGUCAUUUAAAUUACCUUACUAUCCGUUUAAAAAUGGUUUUCAAUCUUCGCUUUUUAGUUAAAAAAAUGAGGUAAAAUACUUGAUAAGAUUUUGAAACCCAUAAAAAUGUUUUCUAAGAGAACCAACAAAUUCCUAGAUAUUAGGACAUGAUGAACCCAGAUAUUUAGCGCUAUUGAAAACAUCUCUAAAAGCUUAAAAAUGGAUUUAACUCUAGAAAAUAGAAAAAGUCUAAAAAAACAAAAAAAACGAUGUCUAAAUGCAUUUUAAAAAACUUUCUGAAACAAAAAUAUGAGAUUCAACCAACGGAA
Molecule: long non-coding RNA, 59823 nt
Filed under: Sorghum bicolor (sorghum)
Lineage: Eukaryota; Viridiplantae; Streptophyta; Magnoliopsida; Poales; Poaceae
Description: long non-coding RNA (SBIC_LNC018227)
Source: RNAcentral